RNAcentral lists this long non-coding RNA (46622 nucleotides) under Physcomitrium patens. RNAcentral's name for it is "long non-coding RNA (PPAT_LNC003450)". Lineage: Eukaryota; Viridiplantae; Streptophyta; Bryopsida; Funariales; Funariaceae. The record is from RNAcentral.
GUUUGGUUUUGUCAGUUACCUUAAUAAUAUGAGUAUUUUAUAUUUCUCACAAAAAAUACAAUCUAAACACAUAAAUUCAUGUAUUGUAGAGAAUAUGUAAUUGGAAGUUGAAAAACUUAAAUCAUUAAAUAUGUUUCAAUAUGGAUUAACUGUUUUAAAUCCAAAUUGGUAACUUGACAAGAAUGAAUAAAAUAUACAUAGUGACAUGUGGUGGAGCAAAUUGUGGUGGCAUGAGAGACACCUUUUGCAAUGCCAAAUAUUAAUGUUAAAUAUUAAUGUAGUAAUAUUUUAGAAUAAAAAUUGAAUAAUCAAAGAUGAAAUUACAUGUAUGGGUGUGAGACAAAAAUGCAUUAUACCAUGACACACAUGCUUUAAUGAACACAUAAUCUUUGAAUUUUAUAACAUUAUCUUGUUGUUGCUUACAUUAAUUUUUAUUGGUAAUGACAAACAAAUCAUUUUCUCAUGCUUAUUGAAUUACUUUCAUGCACAAAAAUUUACUUUAAAGAACUCAAAGGUGAUAUUUCUGAUUGAAAAUGUAUUAGAUUCAAAGUAAUAGAGAUUUGUUGAUAAUGUGUUGUAUCUCCAACUUUUGGCAAUACAUUUUGUAACUUUAAAAGAACAGCCAAUCUUAGCUUUUACAACUCUCCUAUGCGAUAGGCAAUAAUAAUGCAGACUAAUACACAUAACACAUUUUUAUCUAGAUUAUCAACAAUUCAAAAUGCUAGUUUUGUAAUAACAUUUAUUUAAUUUUUUUCAAUUUAUAUAUAUAUAUAUAUCAUAAUCAUGUGUUCAAUCUUACAAAAACAAAUGAACAACGUUCUUCAAAUGCAUUAUCAUUUGUCAAUAAUUUGGAAUAUUAAGAAAUUUAGAAUAACAGGUAAAGUAUUACUACACAGAACUAUACAACAUAUAACAAUCGUGAAACCAACCACCUUUACAACAUUCAUAUAACAUCAAGUCAAAAACAAAACCUAAUUCAAUCUCCGUUCAAAUAAAAACAGUUCUGAGAAACUCUUAUGCACACAUAUCAAGAAACAAUAGCACACAUUCGAAAACCCACUUCACAUCCUCCAUUUACUCUUUAAUUUCACACAAGUUUUCUUGAAUUCAAAACCCCAAAAACAAAUUCUAAUUUUAAAAACAACAAAAUCCAAAACAUACUAGUCUAAAUUUAAGUUGAAAAAUAAAAGUAAAAUUUUAUAUACCAAAAUAUACUAACAUACAUACAUACACUCACACACACACACACACUUGAGAGGACACCAUAACAAAGACCCACCCACCCAGUUCCACUUUCACAGCAAUGCUGUGAAGCCAAAGCGAUAGAAGCUUGUGGUUCUGAUAGCGAAGCUCUUGUGAUUGCACUACCUGCCAAACCUACACCGACCUCCCUGGACCACGAAGACAGUCGAAAAUCACACUAAGGUCGAAAAACUCGCUACGGGUCACGCUUCGGAGGAGCACCGCACCGCACCGACGCGGCGACGACGCAUCACCAGCCCACGAGCGACGGACGAGCGCACCCGAAAAAUAACGAGAGCGAGAGGAGGCUCAAUCACCCUCAAUCCCUCACUCCUUCCUUUUCCGUGAAGAUGCUGCAAUCGCCUUUGAAAAAGCGACGACUCUCGCGGAUUUGAUUUACCCCCAAGUUUCCAAUGAAACGCCUACACUUGGAAUGCAACCGACGAUGGCUUUGACUCCACCCGACCAAGGAAAGCGGAAAAUCUUCCCUCCUUUCCCCGCACAUUGAUUGAUUGCAUCAUGCAUAGUCCUGCACCCUCGCCCAUGACCUGACAUGGUUGCGGACGAUUUUACCCAAACCUUUUUAUGGCUUGCGAGGGGGCGUUUCGUAGGGUUGUGUGUGUCACACGAGGCAGUUUGCGGUCGUGUCUGGCUGGGUGGAUCGAAUGGAAUGGCGUUGCGUGCAUUGCGUUGCCGACUUCUAUAUUGGGAUUGUUGCGUGUGUCAUUAGGGGUGUGGUAGCGCAGUGAGGAAUUUCGAGGGGGAGGGGGUGGAGUGAAGGGGGUUUAGCGUUGGGUUUGUGAGAUAGUCGUGGUGAAUUGUGGAGGUGUGUGGGUGGAGAUGAGGGUUUUAGGGUUUUCGUCUCGGGGUUGGGUUUGACGAGGCUGCGGGGUUUGGAGGCUUCUGUGUUGUGGGAUUUUUGGAGAAGCAUUUGUGUAGGAGGAGCGCUAGGAGUGUGGGGCGGCGGGGUUUUUGAGAGGCGCGACAGGGCUGACAAGAUCACUUACGAAGUGGAUGCCAAGGAGGUUUCUGCGUGUAGUACCACUGCUUAAAACGGGUGGUGCUAUUGUGGAUCGCAGUCACAGCAUGUCUUGAGAGACGUUCAAAAACAUUAUGUGACGAAUUACAACAUAAAGAACAACUUCCUGGAGAAGGUUACUUUGAACUCCGUCGACCGAUCGACAGGGGGCAUUGGCCUAAGUCUUUUCCAGAUCAAAGGGAAUGACAUUUGUGUUGUGUGUUCCAUGUCGCGGAAAUUGUUGAUGAUACCGUUAAGGUGAUUUGGGGUGCAGGCGAAGUGCCUUGAUUUUUGAGAAUUCUGAGGAAUAGAUCAAGAAGCAUCCAGCUUUUCAAGAUGAUGGGAUCUUUCAUUACCAGGGGAGUUAUGUAAGUACUCAUUUUCCUCUUUCCUUUUGUAACUGCAAUGAAAUUGCCGUCAAGCAUGUGCAGGUUUUGGCUUUUCAGUCGUUCGACCAUGCAUUAUGCGUAUUAAUGUUCCAGAAAAUUGUGUGAAGGAUAGCUCAGUUGUAUACUAUAACUUUGCGCGUGAGUAACAGCAUUUUGUUGUCAUCAGGUCGUUUUUACACGUAGGUGUUAGUUAAAUAAUUUUGAGUGCCAGCGCGUUAUUUUUAUUGCUUUGUAUAACAUCUUUUCCUUGUGAUGUGGCAGAAUGUUACUUGGCUACGUGUAUCCGGCGUAUGAAUGCUUCAAAGUUGUAGAGAGGAAUAGACCCGAUUUGGAGCACCUGAGAUUUUGGUGUCAGUACUGGUAUGGUUUCCCUCAUUGCUAAACGUCAAUACUUGUGUUAGAUGCUUGUCUAAAGAUCGUUGCUGUUCGACUGUAGAUAGAGGUGGUGAUUCUUGGGAGUUCUUCCUUUCCCUACGUCCAGCAAAUAAAUUAUCUGGUGAUUGCUUUGGUAACUGAACCUUCCUUUCAGACUCUGAGGUCUCAGAAGACAUGUAUCACCACGCUCGCCGGGGAAACCUUUGCUUCUUGAACACGUUUGGAUUUCCCUGUGAAGAGUAUAUGGACUGUAGUAGGCCUGAAGUUCAUACUACUCUUCACACUGAAAAGUGCUUGGUCGUUUAUUCUUGUGCUGUCUCUGCGGGGCCUUUCUGGUGUGUGGGGCUUGUUUAAUAAACUGGACUAUAGCAAUGUUUGGCUAUUACCCAUAGUUGCUUUAAUUUGCAGGAUUAUUAGCGUCUAGUGAACGUUUUGAAUCUAAGAUUAAACCCACCCCGUAUGUGAUAGUUUCGCAUCAUGCAGCUAUACUUUCAAAUUAAUAGUACUUAAAUCCUAAGAAAGACGUACUUGCUAAACUCGGGAAGUGAAAGAGUCUAAGUUCCCAGUGGCUAUGCACUGAAAGCAACGGCAAUCGCAACAACUGAUAUCCUCUGAAUUCUUAACAGUUGGCUGCCCAUGAGACGCAAAUUAGGUGCGGUUCGUGGGCCAGAAAUUCUAAAUGAUCUAAUUUAACUUACAAUUGCUGCUCAGUAGAAAUCAAAUCACUCUAUUAAGAUGAGAUGCAUAUCUAACUUCCAAGUCAAGUUACGCAUUUCGUGAAACUGUGUGGUUUGAGAUCGUGUUCCUGUAGGUGUAUAGCUCUAACAAUCUUGGCAACUUCGGCAUAUGUCUAUGUUGUCCUUGAUCCCGUGGAUCUGAAUUGAGGUUGUUGGUAUUGGAUGGGAUCGAUAUUGUCAUAAAUACAUGUUCAUCCGAUGGUCCUUUUUCUUCCAGGGGACUGCAGUUGACCAGAAUUAUAUUCGUGCUUCGCAGGAUUAUAAUUGCAUCUCUUACAGUGUUCGAACGUGUGGGAGAUAUUUUUGUUUCUUGGUACGAUUAUUCACUUCAAAGUUGCCGUUCGAUGGAAUUGGUACAUACUCAUGAAAUGCAAUUGCAAUAAGAGUCUCGAAGAAGUGAAUAGUUACAAUCUAUUCCGCACAUGUCAGUCUAGUGAUUCACUUCGUUAAGCGCUUGAAUUCAUUCUUAAUAAUAUUUGUAUCUUCAAAUUCAUGGAUUUUGCUGUUUCAGGGUGCCAAUGUAUAAUGAAGCAAAACUGGCUUUCAUCAUUUAUCUUUGGUAUCCAAAGACACUGGUACUGUACAGCAGCUUUUCCUUUCUUUUUAUGAGUUGUGGCGACGCCUUGAGUAACAUUGGCGUAUCAGAUAAGACAUUAAAAAUUGAUACUUUAUCACUGAGCAGUUUGACGGCUCACAAUCCUAGUAAUUUUGAUGUUUAGUUGUGAGCCUCUCAUUUAUACGGUUUUGUUCCGAGUAUUUCUUCGUUGAUAUUAGUUCUGAGUUCAUCUUCCUCUGAAAGUUUGAUGAUUGUUUCUUGUUUGGCAUUAUCGCAAACUAUCCGCACAACUCAUUUUGGGCAUGGCUUUUGCAGGGGACAACGUAUGUCUACUCAUCCUUCUUAAGACCCUUUGUGGUUAAGCACGAGUCGGAGAUUGAUCACCAGCUGAAUGAGUUGACUACCAGAGCUGGAGAUCUAGCCUUCUUCUGGUGGCAACGAGGUUCAGCUUACAUUCAAGCUCAGGUUUAUCAGAUUUUAGCUUACGUUGCCUCGCAGUCAAAUAGAACUCAGCAGGGUACAGUUGUCCGUCAGGUUCCUCCAGCUGCCCGUCAAGCCUCUAUUUUUCGUCCGAACGCCCAAAUUCCUCGUGGACCCCCACGUGAUCCUCCACAGGUACUUUUUUUGGUUCUGGUUCUAUCUUAAUGCUCUCAGUUAUUUUUUUAUUUCUUUUAGAUCAUAUUUUUAAUGUUUUCUGUAUUCCCAUCAUGGUUUUCUGUGAUGUCCAAACCUCGGAACGCAUUUUGCUCUAUGUCUAUGUAGGGUGACACUCAAGUUCAUCCACCUCCAGUAGGAAGAUUUCCUGGACAUACCCCAGGAGGUGCUGGUUAUCCUGCGUUGAAUGUUGAAGAACUUCAUCCUCCUGCCGCACUUCAGGCUGGCACUACUCUGUAUCCUCCUGUGGCUGGUGAAGCUGGUCCAGACCUUUACCCUCCUCCUCCUGGACCCAAUUUCACGGGCUCUGCCCACCGGCGGCGUGGACGUGGAGCAGGAACAGAGUCAGCUGCCCUUCUCUCAGAAAACUCAGAUUCAGAUUAUGAUGUUGUUGAACACAGUGCAGAGAACUGCCCGGAAAGUCGUCCAGAAAGUCAGUUGGAGAAAAAGUCCCAGCAAUCACAUCCUUCGAUUGGAGAGGAAGGUGUGCCCUUAAAAGUAUAUAACACGAGAAAUCGUCUGCGAUCUGGAGGUUCUCGGUGAGAAGUUGGUGAUGUGUCUGCUCAUCAGUGAAGAUUAAAAUCCCCACCAUGCUAGACGUAAUCGUUUACCUAGACAAUUUCUUCGGUUUAACUUUGGAACAGUGAAGGUUACAGGUUAUCUGAAUGUUCGUCUUCGUUAAGAACAAGACGAAAGAAUGUGGAUUGAGGAAAACUACCGGUUAUUGUAAUUACUGAAAAUGACCUCUAUCAACCUGUCACAUGUAUAAUUUGACGACUCAUCAAAAUUGGACAAUCGCAAGUGCAAGUUUUAAACAUGCAUCUCCCUCUGACAGUAAACUGCUGAGUGGAAUACUCACAAUUUUGUGUUCUGUACAUAACACUUUCUGGUCUUAAUUUCGAGGUUAUGAUUUGAAGUAUAUGUGUAUGUUGUUUGAUAGGAGUUUAUCCGAAUGGUUACCUUGGCUUGGUUCUACACCUUCCGGGAAGGAUGAUUGAGGUUCAUCUUGUCACCUCUGGAGCAAUUUCCAUUGUAUAUCCUUCAUCCUUUCUGACGUCCCCACUUUCAACAACUUCGAAUUGUCUUUUAUACGUCCCUACUUCACAGUAAGUGUAAAAUGCUUCACUGUCCCUGAAGGCGUCAGCUAUCUUCUUCUUUCAGGACCUCAGCGCAGGUAAGUGGAUUUCUUUACUUUUACUAACAUGUUGAAUGCAUUGAUGAUGCAGCAAUACAUAUUUUUCAGUUUCCUGUCCACGACAAGCAGUACUCUGUCGGCAUACAUGUAUCCUAGCAUCUGUACAGAAGCCGAGCUUUUUCAUAUUUUAACAAAACAAUUGUUUGUUUUACUGACAUUUAACAAUACGCCCAAUUCACUGAUUGUAUGUAGGGAUCAUUAAAAACGAGUUUUUACGGGUGGACUGUUGGGGUCACACUGCUCAGGUCCAGACAUCUUUGACACCGAAGGGCGUCAAAGCUAGAGUAGUUCUGGUGGCUUUUCUACUUGCUUUUCUUAUGGCCCGUUGUAUUUUAUACGUUUUAGAUGACUUCAAGUGUGUCUUAAAAUGCAGUAUAUUAGUUUCGCACAUACUGUCUCAGAAUAUUUUGGUACAUCUAAGGAUUCAGCUGUUUUUAAUACUACAAACUUUAUAUGCAUACAACUAAAAGUUGCCUGAUUAAGUACGAUUCUCUUUUCCACCAACACUGUGCAGAUCUUUAACAAUGCAUGGAUCCUAAGGUUUGGGUGUGAGUUAUAGUUCCUAAUGUAUUCAUUGAAUUUGAUAUAUUGUUUUUUGCACAAGAUAAAUUGAAUGUGUGAUGUGUCUAUAUAUAUAUAUAUACAUUGUGUAUAUGUACAUAAUGGUCAAUCCUUAUUGCCUAUAAGACAUUGAUUUGUGUUUCCACAUCUUGGAAUUUGUAGUCUUUCUCAACAAUCACAACUUUAUUACUUUAAAGAUUAUAAUACUCUCAUUUAUCUGCAUUAAAUCGUUCUCAUUGUAUGAAAAGGCUUGUAAAAAAAUUCUAUUCCUUUUAGGUUCAUCUAAUCUGUUACAUUGAAUUAAUUGGUCAUUUGAAUCUAAUCAGUGUUUGUAUUUUAAUGAUUUUUGCAAUGAUUCUAGAAACAAUUUUUAAAAGCUUUAUUACUAUUUUUAAAAAAAAUACUGAAGAUAAUACAGGCACAUGGUUUGGGUUUAUAUAUAUAUAUAUAUAUAUAUAUAUACACACACACACACACACGUAUUAAGUAAUAUAAAUAUUUGUGAUAUUUACUAUUAUUAAACCCAAAAGGUUUAAAAGAUAAAAUAAAAUAAAAAAAAUACAUAACUUCUGAAUUAUACUUUUAUAAACGAAAAAUUCCAGGCCAAUUCUCUUAAUUUUUUUUUAAAUUUUAGGACUACUCCUUUUUUAUUAGUAUUUUCUAAGAUAGUUCUAAAUCUAUUUUCAAAAGGGAAAAAGAAAAAUUUAAAGAUCUAAAAAAACAUGUAGGGCUAUUGCAUCUUUACCAUUCCAUUAUAAACGAACAAUUUUAGACACACACAAAAUUAAAUUUAAAGAAAGGAAUUUUAAAAUAAAACAUAUUUUUUUGGCCUUUUCAUAAAAUCAAUUAUCAUUCAACAAAAAAAUAUUAUUUUUUUGACAUAAAGAUAUGUAACAUUUCAACCAACAAAAUAUUACUCUAGUAGUCAAAUUUGUAUUUUUUGCCAUCAAUUGUAUAUAUCUGUAAUUAUAAAAUAAUAAUAUAUAGCUACUAAAAGAAUAUCAAAUAAAGCUUUUACAAUCUUAAAGACUACAAAACCAAAUAUCAAAUAAAAAAGGAAAAAAUCAAAAUAAUUAAAAAUAUUUGCAAUGAGUAUAUUUGAUCAUUGUAAAUUUUACUUUUUAAAACUUAUAAUAAAACAGAAUAAAAUGCUUCCAAAUAUUUAGGUGACACACACACACACACACAUAUAUAUAUAUAUAUAUAUAUAUAAGAAAAUAAAAAAUAAAAAUUUGAAAAAUAAAAUAUAGUUUGUUAUUAAAUUUUAUAUAUUAUAAAGUAAGCGCCAAUGACUUAGAUACUUUGACAAAAUUGAAUUUUAGUAAUUAAAUACAAAUCACUUAAUUAUAUAUUUAUGUUUUGAAUAAACAUAAAUGAUUUCUUCGUUCACUGUAGAAUAUUUAGAUGCAUAUGAAACAUAUAAUUAAUUAAUUCUUGAGUUCAUUUUAAGAUUAGAAGAACCUAUAAAUUAAAAGCAAAAUAGGAGCAUAUAUUGGAAACAAUUUAAGAUCCUCAUAUAAAUUAAAAGAAUCAUAAAAAAUAAAGUCAAAUAUAAAAACCGUAAAGCAAGUAUCAUUGAAUUAAAAUUGCAUUGAUUUUGUAUAACCUUUUUAGUGUUAAUUAUUUUCUCACCUAAACUUCUGAAAGUUUAUACAAAUAUUAUCAAUUGUAAAAGAGAUGUUUGGAAAUAUAUUUACUAAAGAUCUUCUAAUUAAUAUUUAAGUGCAUUUAAAAUUUUAGUUUUUAUCUCUAAAAUCACUAAUUGAAUUUUAUAAUAAAUAAACCACAAAUAAGUGGUUUGAUUAUCAAUAUUGUAUGUUAAAAAUUAUUUGAAAUUUUAAAAAUGUGAUCUUUAUUAAAGUUCAUUUUCAAUUACUUAUUUAUGUAUUUUAAGAUUAAUGAAAAUAUUAUUGAAUUUAUUGAAAUAUUUAAACUUAGAAUUGAGUAUUCAAUAAAUUAAUAUUAAGAUAUAUAAUAUUAAUAUAAAUAUUUAUAUAAAUACUAAUAUAUAUAUAUAUAUAUAUAUAUAUAUUAAUAUAAAUUUAUUGAAUACUCAAUUCUAAGUUUAAAAAAUUCCACAUGUUUUUUACAAUAGUCAUAUUAAUUAUUUUCAUUAUAAAUUUACAAAUUUUAAAAAACGUUGUCUUCUCUUUGGUUUGGUUUUUGAUAUGGCAUGCAAACUGAAUCAAUAAAAGAAUCAGAAUAAGAGUACACACUAAAGAUGUAAAUAAUAUGUAAUAAGGAUUUUAUACAUGAUGGAUUUGACUAUAUGACCUAAAUCUUUAAACAUGGGUUUAAUGAAACUACUGAAAUAUAAUAAUAAAACUAGUAAAAUUAAGAUUUUUUUUUUUUUGAAGUUAAACUCGUGAUCUUUGUUAUAAAAAUCAUAAAUAUUUUUUAAAAAAAAUAAAAAUAGUUUUAUAUUUAUAUUUUAUUCAUCAAAUUUAAAAUUUAAAAUUAUAUAUGCUUUUAUAACAAUAUCAACAUAUGUUAUAUUGAAGUUAAAUCUAACAUAAAAGUCUGAUUAAAAUUUAUCUUAAUAAGUUAUAAAGUUGAUAGGUUAAGAAUAGUUUUAUUUAAAAUAUAUAUAUAUAUAUAUAUAUAUAUAUUCACACACAUAGAGAGAGAGACACACACAGACACACACACACACAUAUAAAUAUAUAUAUAUAUAUAUAGGAUUAAUCAGAUAUUAUCUUAGACAUGGAGGUUUUGUACCGUUACAAUACAACUGUUUAAUUAUUGCUGCUGAUACUAUUUUAGUAAUUAAUAAAGACAUGUAACAUGUUUGGUAGCCUUUUUAUUUAGACAACUUUUCUAAAGGAAGUGUAAAAAGAUACGAAAUUACCGAAGGAUUAAAAAUAAAAAUAAAAAUAAAAAAAAUAAAAAAAACUAACUGAUGUGGUGAAUUUAGCAGGGGCAUCUAAACCUUGUAGCACAUUGGUAGAGAGAAAUAAUUAGAAAUAAAAGGACGGAAAACAUAUAUUUUUCAAAUUUAAUAUCAUUCAGUCAUUAGUAAUUGGUAGAAAGUUUUAUUAAUUUACAUUUUUAUUUAACUGAGGUUUGUAUGAAAAGCCUAAAAGUCACGAUGUAAAAUAAUUAAAAGAUGUUUGAAAAGUAAUGGACCUUAAAGAGUAAGGUGCCUGUUACUGCAUUUAUUUUACUCCAUUUUUCCUUUUUGAAUUUUGAAUUUUCUUAAUGAAUACUCAAUUUUGUGGCAUACAAGAAGUGAUAAUUUGUUUUUCAAAUUAUUGUGAAUUGACCGUUAACUAGUGAAUAGAUAAAUAAGGUUGUAAAUAAAUGAAUUUGAUAAUGAUUGAAAGUAAUUAAGAAGUUAAAUAAAAGAAUUGUGAUUUAGAAAAUUGGAUAUAUUAAAAUUGUAAAGAAAAUUCAAUUUCAAGUUACAUUAGAGUUUGUUAAAAAUCUUGUAAUAGAUUUCCCGGUUCUAUGAAAAGAAAAAAAAAUGCAUUUGGAUCCAAAAAAAAAAAAACAAAAGUUACUGCAAAAUAAUUAACAAGUUAAGUACAAACAACAUUGCAAUGAUUUUUAACUUGUUGUAAUAUGUGUUGCAUAAUAUUGAUGUGCAUUUUUGAUGAUGUAUUUGUGUUUUUCUAUGAUGACAAUCCUCAAAGAUAAAUAAAUAAGUGAGUUAAUAAAUAAGUAAUAAAGUACCCAUCUAACUCCAAUGUCACCGCUAUUAAUUGAUGUGGAGAAGUAGUAGUAGAAGAGUUGUGGGAUGAGACUCUUGGUCUUCCUUUACCAUUUCCACUACUACCACCACAACUAUUAUUAACAAUUCUACUACCACUUAUUUUGCUAUAAUACCAUUACUAAAUACCAUUAACUUUGUAUUUAUCCUAAAAAUUAUUAUCUUUCCUUACAAACAUGAAUGAGUUCCUCCACUAACAAAAAGACAUUACUACGAUUAAUCAUUUUUUUUUUCCCUUGUUUCAUUUAGAAAUUAAUAUUAUAGAGUUGAAGUUAAGAAGUGACCUCCAAUGAAGUGCCAAGAAUGCAAAAUUCAAUUUGAGAAGAGAUUUUGUGCAUCAAAGAAAUAAGCUUAUUUACAAGUUGAAGGGAUUAUUUCUUUAAAAAGUAGAAACUUGAGUAGAAAAUAGUUUUAAAAAAAAAGAAAAGAAAAGAAAAACAUGAAAAAUAUAUAUAUAUAUAUAUAUAUAUAUAGCAAUGAGGUGAAACUAGUUUCAUGCAGCUAUGGAUGUUUGUAUUAGAUUUUCUUCUUCACUCACAAGAGGUAUAGAUUGCAUUAAAUAUGUAAGUGAAGCAAUAGUACACACCAACACAAGUAACUCUUAGAAAAAAUUGGAUUUGUAUGUAUUUUGUAUGAAUAUAUAAUUAUAAAAAGCUACUAAUCAAGACUUAAUACACAUGAUUUAAUUUUUCAAGAUAAAUAAACCUUGCAUACUUACGGUUUUAAAUUCUAUAGUACAAGCAUGACAUGUAUUAAGAACACAGCUAAUUUGAAAAUAAUACUGAUAGUUAAAACACUUUGUGGAGAUGUCCUUUGUGGGGUACUUGAAGGACAUAUUCAAAAUAGUUAUUAUUCAAGCAUGCCAUGUUUCGUUUGCCUCUUGAUAUUUUUAAAUUGAAAAUGAAACUCUUUGUUGGAGACAAUUAAUAGAUAUAAAUUUUCAUAAUAAAUUAGUAGAUAAAAUCAUCAAGUAAAUAUUUGCUAUCAUGUCACAUAUAUGCAUGCCACAUGAUAGUAAUUUUUAAUAGAAAAAAGAAAAAGUAAAAGAAAAGAAGAUUAUGAAGAAGAAGAAUGCAUUAGAUUGUACUAUUUAACUGUAUUUAUGUAAACACCAAAUAUACGUAGUCAAUAUAUCUUUCAUUUUGGUUUAUUCAUAAAGUUGAUUAAAAUUUUCAAAUUUUUGAAGUUGAUUAAAAUUUUAGUUUUUAAUAUAUGUCGAAUUCUAAUUUUUUUUCAGAAAAUAGUCAAUCAAUAAUUUUGAAAAGAUUAAAUAAAGGAAUAAAAGGUCUUUUAAAAUUCUAGAUUAUUUAUAUCAAUGAAAUAUUUUUUAAUAACAUGAAAUAUUUUAAAAAUAAAUAGGAUUUAAUAUCUAUUGCAUCACUUCUUAUCUAGCCAAUUUUUAUUAUUAUUAUAUGUAUACGUAUAUAAUUAUAAAGUUUUUCUUUAGUACUUUUUAUAUAGAAUUAUUUAAAAUUUAUGAUUGUAUAUUUAUAUGCAUGUAUAUGAUUUCCUUAUUAGCAUCAUACAUAAGCCUUUUGAUAAUUUUAUCCACAUAGCAGCUAAUUUACUUUUUAGAAUAUUGCCCUGCACUCAUUAUAUUCAAAACAAAAUGCUAGUAGGUCCUACUUCAUCAAUAAAAUUGUUAACAAUUGUAAAUAUUUGUAACAUUUCCUUAAAUCUACAAUAUGUAAUCUUUAUGAUAAAUCAUACCAUAAGAAAAAUACCUUUAAAAUAUUAAGAUAAGAUUAUAUACUAACAUUUUCAUCUUCAACUACAAUCUUGCAUAAAAGACUAAAAUGUUCAUUGGUGUAUAAAUUCCUUUAAUAAAUAAUUGUUUUAUGUAAUUAAUCAAAGACUAAAGUAAAAGAAUUUGACAUAUAAAAUCACUAAAAAUUUACAAGUCAAAUACUUUUAUAUGUAAAGAAAAAAACUUGGUGUUUGUAGAAUUAUGCAUGUUUGCACUUUUAUAGACCACAUUAUGAGACAAUUGCUAAUUGCUACAUUGAUUUUGUUAACAAUGUAAUAUAUAUAUAUAUAUAUAUAUAUAUAUACACACAUAAUUCAAAAAGCACAUCAGGUAUGCAUAACUAAACGACUUUAAGUAAAAUUAGUUUAAACCCCCUCUUUGGAAAUACAAAGUUAUGUCAACACCAAACCUAAAUUUGAAGUGUUGUGUGUAACCUGACACCAUGUAACUUAAAAAUCCAAUACAAAAUUUACAGGGAGGAGUUAGAAUGAAGAGGGGGAUAAUUAUGCUUUGAGUUAAUUCAAACAAAGCUGCCAUAAUAACAAAAGAGAAACUAAGUGGGAUAGAUGCAAAGUCUUCCUCUAUAACCCCUACAUUUUCAUUUCAGGUUUUACUGUGUUUCAUUAAAAAGGGGAACCCAUUUGUAAGACUCAAUUAUUUGUUUGUGUGUUUCCUUGUCUUUUUUAAAACACCUUUGUAUUCAUGUAGUCACCUCCCUUUUGUUUUGUCUUUGCAGAUUCUAAUCAAUAUAACCAAAGUAAUAAACGAAAGUACCCUUCAUAUCCUUUUAUGUUGUUGUAAAGAGAGGGGAAGUAGAGUAGAGUAUAGUGACCCAAUUGUCAUUUGAUGUAAUAGUUUACACUGCUGACGUCGACAAUGGACUUCACACCACCAGGAUGGAUGGACGGAUGGAUGGAUGUACGGAUGGAUGGAACAUACGUAAACAUCCUUGUCUGUCAUCCAAUCUGAGCCCCAAGAAUGAAAGUUUUUUUACUUUUUACUUUAUACUUUGUUUACUUUUCUUUUGGUAUGGGUGUUUGUCUGGAAGAAUGGUGGGGCUAGUUAGUUUGGCCAGUUAGCCAGCCAUGCACAAUAGUGUGGUUGUUGGAGGACAGCUCAGAGUUUACAAAUGGGACUUUCAAACUAGCAUUCCCUAUGGGAUUGAUUAGAACAAGAGCCCCCCCCCCCCCCAAUUGGCAAGAUGCAGUGUUGUUGUUGUUGUUGUUGUUUUGUGUUUUGUUUUGUUUUGUUUUGUUUUUGUUGUUGACCAGAUGUGGCAUGAAGUGAACAGAGAUUGUACUCUCUUGUUGAGUGAGAGAGUAAGUCCACUGAUAUUUUAUAUAUGUAUUUAAUGAAGUGUUCUCUCUGAUGGUGGGGGAUCAGAGUUCCUUUUUUACAUUAUUUAAAAAAAAGUUUAGUGGUUACUAGUCCAGUAAUGGAUCCAGUGGAAACCGUCCAAGUGGCAAGGAAGGGGAAACACCAAUUAGAGGUGUCCACGUGGCAAAUAGGAGAAAGGGGCUCAUGGCAGGGCUGUGAGUACAAGUGCAUGGGAAUUGGAGCUGCAGGUCCUUAUAUAGAAAAAGAAAUCAGCUGUAUGAGAAUAUGGGAACAUGAGCCUCUAAAAAUUGAAAGGUAUGAGUAUGUCCUUUAAAACCUCAUCCAUCUGGACUCCAUAUUCAAUGUUAUGUCAUUUCCAACAAACUUGAGCAUAAUAUGAGAUAGUGGGUAAGAUACAAAUGUGUAUAUAUAUAUAUAUAUACGCAUAUGUUUGAAAUAAAUUUGGUUUCAUGAUGUGCACCUAUACAAGAAGCAUCGAUCAGGCUGAAUGCAUUUAAAUGUUUUUACUUUCACAGUUGAUGGUUAUAAAUAUCACAAGUUGCCCAGUGGAAAGCCAAUUGUGAGCAUCCAAGUCAAUGCUGUUGGAUGUGACUCUCUCCCCUGCACUUUUCACCCACAAAUAGUUACUACAAACUUUGGAUUCAAUUCAAAGAAAAUUCAGCAAACCAAAACAUCAUCUUUUGAUAAAUCUCUACUAAGCAAACAAUUCCAAAAUCUCCAUUGUGUGUGCAUGGAUGGGUGUCUGUGUAAUUUAAAUAAUAAUAAUUAUAAUAAUAACAACUCCAUCAAUUUCUGGGGAGAACCAUCAUAUCUCUGGUAGGAUUAUUACACAAAUUCAAACAUUAACUUAAUUAAGGCAAUCAUUUUAGGGUUCAUGCAGAGUGCCCCCACGUGGAAGCUCUGGUUCCCAAGGUACAGCUUUUAUAUUGGGAAUCAUCCAUCCACCCAUAAAUUCAUCCACCUAGCCAGGUACAUGGGCCCAACAACCCCAAGGGAGCAAGGGAUCCAGCCCAGCUGUGGGGCACACUUUACUACUUACAUCCCCUUUUUAUCCCACUUUCUUUCUUUCAUUCCCUUUUUCUUUUUCUGUCUUUUUUUAAUCCUCCCCCAAUUGGCCGCAUGUGGGGGCUAUUGCUUUCCCCCGUCAUCCUGUUCCGUGCGCAUGUCCUCACAAACAUGGUCCAUUGUACAAUCUCUUGUCUCUCUUGUGGCAUGUACUCCAAACUCACUUACACACUUUAUUGUGGGGUGGUUGUGGUGCCCCACAAUCUAUUAUCAUUCACCCUUGCCAUUUUUAUCUCUUUCCUUGCAUGUUGUUGUGUGUACCAUGGUGUAAACCCUAAUCUAGCCACAUGAUAUAAUUCCUAUGCUUGAAUAUGAUUAUUUUGGCUUCUAAAUGAAGAAGCUAUGAUUGAUUGAAAUUAUUGCAUGUGAGUAGUGGAUGAGUUCAUUUCUCUUUCAUUCUUAUUUGGAGGUGUAGCUUGAGUAAUUAGAGGAUCAUUGGAGCCUAGAUUCUUGUGUGGUAUUUAUUUUUAUUUUUUCUGAUAAUAAGAAAUAAAGAGAUAAUUAAAUGGUACAAAUUUAAUAAAAAUGCCUUUAUAACAUAGGGUUUUCAUACAAAGAUUUGAAAAAUAAUCUAUAUUUGAAUGAGAUAUUAUAUAGUUUGUUGUUAUGUUGAAAUGAGUGGAAAGUUAGAGUCAAAAUGUUUAAAUUAUUGUUUCAGAAGAAGAGAUAUAUGUUUUUUAAAAUGGGUGUAAAAUUUAGCUUGAUUCCAUAAGAAUUAUAAAUACUAUUUUCAGUAUUUUAACUUGUAGAUUGUUUUUUAAUAAAAACUUAUCUAGAUUAGUUUGAAAAUAAAGUUUAUUGAAAUUUUAGCUUCGUAUAUGAAUUAUCAUAUACUAAGAUUUUCAAUUUGUAUCGAUUUUUAAAUAUGAUUGUUUAAAUAUAAAAUUAAAGAAGAAUAUUUUAUAUAAUUUUAUAUAUAACAAAAAAAAAAUACAUAUAAAUAAAAUUUUGGAAUUAUGCCUCUAUUAGACCAUAACUUAUCAACAAGAAAACUGAAUAGAUCACGUGCUAAUAGUAGAUCCUAUUUACAACAACUACAUUCAUUAUUAUCAUAUUUAUUAUUUUCUUAUCAUGAUUUUUAUAUUUUAUCUAUUUUAUUAGAAGACAUAUUUUUAAAAAAAUAUUUUAAAAGACAUAGUAAACUAAUUAUAUGCCAUUUAAAAAUAAAAAAAUAUAUACAAAAUCUUUAAAACACUCAAAUUUAAGACAGAUUUUUAUAUGAAGUACUAUAAGCACUUCAAUAACAAUUUAAAGUAAAAUAUCAAAUAUGAUUUUUUUCAAAAAUAAAUAUAAAUAAAUAUAAAUUUAAAAGAAAUUAAUAUUUAAAAAACUACAUAUAUUUUUAAUUAUCUUCUAAAUAAAUUUGGUGAUUUUUUUUUUAUUUUUAAAGCACCUCCUCGAUGUGCAAAUCUAUAUAGUCUUCUUUUCUUUUAUUUAUUUCAUCUUAUAGGUUUAUAGUAUAUCACUUUUUAUAAGCAAAAAUAAUCUACCACUAAUUCUAAUUACAAUCAAUAUCAAAAUUAAAUAUAGAAUUGGUAUGUUUUUUAAAUCAUUGAUUGGAUCCAAGUGUUUAAAUUUUUUAAUACAUUAAAAAGCAUAUAAAAUCAACAAAAAAAGUUUAAUAUUUAUAUAAUAAUGAUUAUAUAUAUAUAUAUAUAUAUAUGAGUAAAAAGAUAUUUAUGAUAUUUUACUUUUUUAAUUUGAAUGCUAUCUUUUUAUAUUGUAAUAUCUCAGUAGAAGGUUUUAAUAAAAUCUCAAUAUUAAAAAUCUUGAGUUUUCUUUAUUGUAGUCUUAGACCAACUACAACAAUUGUUACAACCUUUACCAUUACAUAGACAUUGUUGAGAUGAUGCAAGACCUAUCAAGCAUAAUGUACAACCUUGUAAUGAACAACUUUGGUAUAGAAAUAGUUAAACUUAUGCUUAAGCCUUAACUUUACUACUAUAAGAUAGUAAUAUUGAAAUAAGUAGUUAAAAGGUAAUUUUAUACUUUUUUGAAGAGUUUUAUUUAUCCCAAUUUAUUGAAAUAAAUCUAUAAAUACCAAAUAGUCAUGGCUAUAUUUUUUGGUCAAAUAGACAUCUAAAUGCAUUAAUUAAAGAUCAAAAGUCAUUAUAAAAAUAAUUAAAGAAAACUUAGGUUCUUUGCAAAAUGUAUUUUUAAAAGAAAAAAUAACACAAAUUCUCAAUUAACAUCAACUACAAUUACCAUUUGAAACCUUUUGAAAUCUUAAAGAUUUUUUUAUUUUUUAUUUAUUUUUAUAUUUGUAUCACUUUUUGUAGAUCUUUUAAAACCUCUAGAACUUUCUAAGAUUUUCUAUAAGAUUCUAGAAUCUUUCAUGGUUGAACAAAUUUUUUGAAAUGUAUUCUACAUUCUUUUAAAAUACUAUUUAGCCGUGAAGUCUUUUCUUAGUUAUCUAAAUAUUUCUAUAAAAGAUACAUUAUAUUUUUAGGAUCUUGUUUUAAUUUUAAAAUAUUACUAAAUAGGUUUUAAAUUAUUUAUUUGCUGCAACAUGAAUAAGAUAAUAAGAUAAAUAGAGAUCUUAGUCUUACAAGCAAUAAUGUUAGAACAAAUCCAAAUAUUGCAUUGUUUCUACUCUUGUUUCUAAUUUGUUUUCAUUUACUUAUUUAAUUUUAAACUUCUUCAUCUCUUAAUCUCUUAUAAUUCUGUAUUUGUUUUAAAAAAUAUAUUGAUUAUUCUUUCAAUGAUGGGUAAAAUUUUAUUUUUUAAAAUAAUUAAUAUUGUUAAAUAUUUAAACAUCAAUGAAUAUAAUAAUAUUCAAUAAAAAUAUUAUAUUUUUAGAAUCUAUUUUUUUAUAACAAUGAUUAUAUAUAUAGUUAAAUAUUAAAAUCUAUUAAAGAAGUUAUUGCAUAUAUACAAAAGUAUCAGCUUAAAAGAAUCCUUCUAAGUGCUUUUAGAAAAUUCGAAAUUUCUUUUUAAAUUUUUUGGUUGAAAUAAUCUUCCAGUUAAAUUUGUGUGUUUUUUUUUUUUUAAUUCUUUUCAUCAAAAAUAAGGAAAUGAUAUGUUAAUAAACUAUCUGAAAUCAUCUAGAAACAGUAAUCAUUUUCUUACUUAUAUUCUUUAUAACCAUUAUUAUUAUAAAGAUAAUUUAUCAAUUUAUAUCUUAUAUCAAUUUUAUAUUUUAGAUUGUCCAAAACUUCAAUAUUUUUCUUUUUUAUUUCAUUUUUAUUAUUUAUUUAUAUUUAUUUUAAGUUUCUAAAAAUACUCAUAAAAUUUAUAAUAUUAUCAUAUAUAAGAUAUUUAAUUAUUCUUAAAUAAUAUUUAAUAAAUAUUCAUCAAAUUUUAUAUUAAAAAUUUAAGGAAAAAAUAUUAAAAAAAAAUAAUGUGUGUUGUAUAAAUUUUUUUAUAAUUUUGUGGUUUUUAUUAAUUUUACUCAUUUAAAUUUUAUUGAUUAUUUUUUACUAUUUUAUAAUAUUAAUUUCGAAUUUAUCAAAACCUGCUUUUUAGUUUGAAUUUUACGCUAUAAUAGUUAUAUAUAUGUAUACAUAAUGUAAUAACUAAAUUUACAUGUUUUUAAUAUUGAAUACAUCAUCACUAUUAUAUACUAAUUAAACGUGCUAAUAUUAGUUAUUACAAAAGAAAAAGUAACAUAAUGAUUUUUUUGAAUACAAUAUAAAAUAUUUUAUCAAUAUCUUGUUGAUCAAAAAGUAAUAACCUUAUGUGCUCACAGCACAAUAAUCUCACACCACUAAGAUGUAUUACUCAAACACAUUUUACACAACCAAAUUUUUAUUUGAAAAGCAAUUGGUUAUUCAAUAGUAAUACCUUCUUAAAUUAUCUCUCUAUUUUCAUUUUUUUAUUUUUUUAUUUUUCCUUCUUUUUUAGGCUUUCUCUUGUGUUGUGUCCAUGGUUGGUGUAGAACAAAUACCAAUGACUACGUCAUGCAAUGGCCAUAGCCAUAGCCACAAAGGUUUAAUGAUAUUAUAGUUGUGGUACUAUGCUCUCAUUCAUGGUACUACUACUAUUAUGUCUACCCACUCCUUUUUCAUAUCUUUUAAAUAAAUAAUAAAAUAAAAUUAGGGUUUUGGUGUAUUGGGGAAAUGGCUUGUUCAACAUGUAUUCAUUCCAUCCAUUCCCCAUUCUCACCUCCAUUUUCACCUCAAUUAAUCAAACUAAGAAGAGUGAUGGUGUGCCCUUUAGCGGUCAGUGUGAACAGGGGUUUACACGGUCUCCCUUUCUCUCCUUGUACAGACUUUGUCCUGCAUCUUCCAAUGAACGUAAUCAUCCACCAUUUCAUCCAUGAUGUCAUCCAAAGUUUGGUCAACUUUGAAUUCCAUAGAACAAAUGAAUAACAAGUGAUCUUGGGCAAAUAUAUAUACGCAUGAAAAUAAUUAAGUUAGUUUUUCAGAAUUCAAAUUAAUGUUUCUAUAUUUUUAUUUUUUAUUUUUUCAUAUACUACUAUCUAGAUACUUUUAAAAUUUUAAAAGUUUCCAAGUGCAAAAUUAUGUUCAUUUCAUAAAUCAUUUAAAAAAAUUCAUAAAAAAAAAAAAAAUGAUAUUUUGAAUGUUUUGUCAAUAUGGUAGUCUUUGAAUGAAUCAACUAUAAUAAUAUUUUUUAAAAUUUCAACAAUAAAUUUUAGAAUUGAAUUAUACACAUGUUUUUAACUUUUUAUUUAAAAAUAUAUGGGGAUAUUAAUUAAUAAUAAAAAAUAGAAAUAGAUAUAAGUUUAUUAUUUUUAUAGAUGAUUAAGUCUAAUAAUAAUAUUAGAGCUUUAAAAAUAAAUCUUUGGAUAAUGAUGUGUAUAGAAUAGUAAUAAUUAUAAUUAUUAUUUUGAUAAUAAAUUGGAUAAAAUAUUUUUACAUAUAUGUGUAUAUACACAUAUAAUUAUAUUUACAUUGAACUAAAUUAUAAAUUUUAUAAAUUAAACAAAAGAGAUGUAAUAAUAAAUUUAUGUUAAUUAACUAUAGUUAGAGGUUUUUAAAUAAUUAAGUUAUAUUAUACAAAUUUUUAAUAUAUAUAUAUAUAUAUAUAUAUAUAUAUAUAUAUUAAAGAUUUUAAUUUGAGUGUACUAACUUUAUACUUUAAAACAUGCUAUUCAAUGAUGUUUAAUAUGUUUUUGGAAUUGAAUGUCAAAAUUAUUUAUUAAUAAAUUAUUUAUAUUUUUAUUUGAAGAGUAUGUUUUGCAUGUAAUCAAAUGAUCAUAGUGUACAAAAUUUUCAAAGUAAUCUAUGUUUUGUUUUUUUUUUUUUUUUUUUUUUUUUAUAUAUAUAUAUAUAUUAUUCCUAAAGUAAAAAUUUGGUAAUUCACAUGCAAAAUUUAUUUAAAUUAUUUUCUAUUUAAGUUUCAUUUUUUUUUAUUUCAUUUUAUUUCUUUAUAAUUAAAACAAUGAUUUUUAGAAAACUGGUUUAGUAAAUUCCUAGAUCUAGACUUAGACUAAAGAGCACUCAACUAUGACACAAUUACCAUAUGCAUGUAUGCAUGCAUAUAUAAACACACAAAGCAAUAUAUGUUAUGAUUUUUUCAAAUAUAAAAAGACAAAUUUUAAAACAUUGUUUUUAACAAUUUUCAUUUCAUUAGUUAUUAUCAUGAUUGCAAAAGCCUUCAAGAGAUGGCAACUUGCAUCUAAGAAAUAAAAUCUUAGCUUUCAAGAUAACAAAGGUUGGUAACCAAUUCAAAAUUUUCCAGUAUAUAUAUAUAUAUAUAUAUUGAAAAUGAAUAUACACAACAACAUGAAAUUGACUUUGCAAAAUUUUCAUGGCUUCUGUACUACUGCAGCAAAGCCUGAGCAGCUCAAUAGCCAACACUGAAGCUUAAUCUCCAAUACUACAAUCAGAACUUGUAAGCUAUCUUUGUCGAAUGAUUUCAUAUUCACAAACAAAUCCUGAAGACAAGACCAUGAAAAGAAAGAAAGGGGAGGUGCAGUAGCAAGUCUUCAUUUGAUGAACAAUGCUGCAUGUACAGAAGAAGGUACAUGAUCAUGGAAAGUGAUUAUAUAUAUAUAUAUAUAUAUAUAUACACACACACAUUUGAUUUCAAAUUUUAUUUUGUUUUAUUUAUUAUUUUACAGUUGUGUUUUGUUAGGUUUGGUAUUUAUUGUAUAGAGUUGUGGGUGUGGGUAUGGGUGUGCCCAGUCACAGAGGUGGUACUCCCAGCGAUGGAUUACAAUAGAACCCAGUCCUAGAAAAGCAGGCAGGCAAUGGAGUGCAAUGGGGGGUAGAUUGUGCAGCUCCAACAUUACUAGUCUCCUUUGGAGACUUUAGCUUCCCAAGCACCAAUCUAUCUAUCUAUUCAUCUAUCUCACAGGAAUAGGAGUGUGGCUGCACUCUGUUUGCAGUACCCUUUGAGCUACUCUCAUAAACACACACAACAAACAAAAAUAAACAGAACACACUUGCUUGCUUACUUACUCUCACACUCACAUACAUGCAUGCAUGCAGGCAGGUAGGCAGGCAUGUUAAAAUAAAAAUAAAGGGAGGAAGAAGGAGAAGAUGAAAGAAUACGAAAGUGAGGUUGAAAUGGUCCAAUGCAUGCACACAGCGUGCCACAGAAGCCAAGCCAAGCCCACCAGGGACCAGGAAGGAGGACCCAGUUCAGCAAUAAAAAUAAAAAUAAAAAACAACAACAACAAUACACACUCACACACACUAAGUCAUAGCAGAAAGAAGAAGAAGCAUAAUAAUAAGAGGAAGGAGAAAGGGGGGAAUCAAGUGGAGUGUUCCUCGCCGCCUGGCUGUCCGAACCGAGCAUCCGACUCGCAGGAAAAUAUUCCAGGAAAAGAGACGGAACACGAUCAGGGACAGUCACUAAUCGCGGCACGAUCCCCUGAGCAGCAGCCUCCCCCCUUGCUUGCUUCCCUCCCUCCCUCCCUCAAGGAAAGGAAAAGAAGAAAGGAAAGGGUGGAAGGUAGGAUGGUAGUGUGCUAGCAGCAGGAGAAGGGGAUGGAUGAUGCGACGGAGGAGGACAUGAUAUGAGUGGGUAAUAAUAAUAUCAGGCAGGCAAGCAAGCAAGCGAGGGAAUGCGAGGGACUGCGAGCGAGGGAGAGAGCGAAAGCGAGAGGGGGAGUGCGAUGGGUGGCAUGCGUCGCAAUCAGACCCGGAUCUGGAGAAAGUGCCAGGCAGCGCAAAGCAGGUAGCUUCCUUCCUUCGCAUGCGGAUGUCGGAACCAGGCCAGCCAGUCAGCUUGGGAAUGCAGCUAAGCUAAGCCAGGCCAAACCUGGGUGCGGCACUACUAGUCGUAGUAGGUCAUAGUAGUAGUAGUAGUCGUAGUAGUAGUACAGAUCCUGAUCCUGAUGCGACGCUACACGCCAAGGACCACACCCCCACCCUCCCCGAUUGAUGGCUUGUCUCCAUGGCGGUGAUGGGUGCGGCCUCUUGUCUUGUAGUAAUAGUACUAGUAGUAGUAGUAAUAGUUGUUGUUGUAGUAGUAGAGCGUAGACGUGAUCGUAUCGCGCGGUGAAGAGAGGGGGGCAGAGGAGAUUAAACGUGGAGCAAGCGAGGGAGGGGGGGGGGGCCAGCCAGGUGAGUUGAGUUGGAUAAUGGUGCGUUACGUAGUGGGCGUGGGAGGAUGGGCAGGGCGGCACGCUGCACAUCCUUAACCCUCGAAACUGUCACAAUUCGCGCCCGAUCAGCGUCGUGCUCUUCUUGUCUUGCCACUGCCCCUGCUGCUGCUGCUCCUGCUGCGGCCUCGCUCGCGCACAGGCGGCGGACUUGGGUAUGGCUGCUACUGCUGCUGCAGGGAAGCUGAACUGACGCCCUUUUUUCUGGCCGUGCUUUGCCUUGGCUUCUCUCGGCUGUUUUCUCAGCUUGUCCUCUAGUCUCCUCUCUCUCGCUGGUCUCCGAAGACUUAGUACAACGCUAGCUUCGCAAGCUGUUGAGACCGGCGCUCUCUUGCGAUGGGUUUAAUAGUACAAGGAGUGUGUUUCUGUGAUCGUCGCUUUUCUCGAUCCUCAUAAUUGAGUUGUUGGUGCGAUCUUCGGUUUCAGCGACGAGUUCUUCAACGGUUUAGUGGAGCGGGUGCUUCUUCGCAGAGAGUGCAGACUGUGAGAGGCAGUUUGGGUGGCUAGUAGCGGCGCGCUGCUCAUCGUAGAACAUGAUUUCGUGGGAUCUUCUUGAGGAGUGAAGGACCUGGAUGGAGGCGCAGUCAGCCGGAUCAGGUGCUCCUCGUGGGGAUAAUAGAGCUGUGGCAAGGGCUCUUUAGAGUGGAAAGCAUGUGUUCUAAUGGAGAGUAGUGGUGAACUCCCGUUCUUCCCGGGUGUGGCUAGAAUGAGCACCACCUAAGUGUCUUGGGAGGUCCUUCUUCAAGGCUCGCUUUCGCAUUUUCUGAAUCUUUAACGAGGACGGGAGCGUCCAGAAGUAGUGCAUGAGCGGUAGUGACCAAAGAAACUGGUCUUUGGAUUAUCUCAGUUGUCGAGUGCAAAGUGAGCGCGGCUGAUCCGUCCCGGUCUACCAUGCGGUACUAAGUUCCGGGGCUAGGAGCUAGGGAUGCUCGCAGGAUUUCAGAUUAUGCCUAUCAGAUGGAGCUAUUCUCAUGACACUUCUGCUGCUGACAGAUUUUCGACAAGUUUAGUUCUUACUGUGCAAGCCAUGAAAACGAGGUAAUUCUUCUUAAACCAUAAGCUGUAUUCCAUUCUGUUGAAUUAGAGCAAACUUGUUCAUCUGUAAAGAGAGUUGAUGUUUCCAGCAUCUCCCGGAACGAGGAUGCAGUAGACUAUGAGGAACCCGACGUAGAUCUGUCUUGUAGUAUUAAUAAUCCAGGUAGGUUGCUCGGAGCUUUAAAUACAACGACUUCGGUCGGGUUACUGUUCCACUUAUACGUCCUCCUAUAACUUAACAGUCAUGUAUCCCGUGUGUCGGUAAUUGUGUGGUUCCAAAUCUUGACACUUACGAGUUAUUUCAACGGUAUUCAUUAACUCCUCAUCGAAUUUGACAUAAACUCUUGAAACAAAUCUGUCACAUAGGACGCCAAUUGUCUGGUUUGUUUUCUUUAGACAUGCAAUUUUCUCAAUUGGAUUACAAGCUACUCUUUCAUAGCCGCCAUUCUUCACGCUGCGGAGCAAUGAAAAUGAUCGUCUCAGUGCGCUGCGGUUUGAAGUAUUGUUUCAACACACAUGACUCGUUUUUACAAGUAACAUGACGUUAUCCCAUAACAUGUCUCAUAGUUCUUCCUGUAGUGGUCACUUCUGUCUCCAGAAUUUGACAGUCCUGUGAAUGUCCUUUAAAAUGUCUAGUUAACUGUUGCUGCUUUGUAGUUCCUUAACGUCAGUUGCGACAAUCUAACUCUCUCGGAGUGAGAUGAUUUUUGUGUAGCUCGUAGAGCAUCGUUCGAUAACAAUGACACUAGAGGACGAAGGGGGAGGAACCAGCGGCUGUGGUGGAAGCUGACAAUAUCAUGUAGUCUGUCGAGGAAUUAAGUGCUUACAAUGGGACUUUUCCAGUGGGCCGAUAAAGAGAAAGUGAAGACGUGAAGAAAGGGAGGAAUUGAGGUUAUCCUGGGGGGAUUGGGAUUAUCUCUUGGCUGUGGAAGAGUGGGACAGUGGCAGAUAGGGAGAACAGCAAUACAUUUCUCAAGCAGUAGAUUAGGAAGUGAUUUCUCCAUGAGGUAAAGCAUCAAUGCAGGGUUCAAUGACACACAAAGACAUCAGUGGAAUGUUUACAAAUGCUGCCCCAUCACCGUCUGGCCCGGUAUUGUACCCACUCUUAUCUUUAAACUUGAUUUUUCAGCUACUUUAAUUGAUCUCUCUCUAGUGGUAGGAGCUGAAAAUUUCUUCGAAAGAAUAAACGUACAGAAUAAAAAGAGUUAGAUAUCCAAGGUUCUUCAUCUAAUACUCACAUUUCGUGUGUUGGAAUUAGUGGAGUCUUGAUUAAUGAAUUGGGAGUUGUUGAUAAUGAAGUGCCAUGGCUGGGCCCGGGUUUGCAGUUGUCACCUAGAGCCGGCUCGGCAUUAAGUCCGGGUGGGCCUUACACGGUAGAUAUCAGGAUGCAACUAUCGGUGAGCGAUACCAAGUUCUCCGGAAGCAGCACCAAUGUCGACGUACUAGCAACUCUUGGCGGCAGCUCCGAGGCCACAGCUUUGAAUAAAUCCCAAAGCGUGGGAAGCUCUCUUCAGAACCAAAACCUCAGUCAGUUACUCCGUUCAGCACCAGGGUAUGGCGCCUCCUCUGCCGACCAGCAGCAUGGUGCAACAUCCAACUUUACCAAGUCGGUCGGAAUGGAGUCGGAGACGCUGGCCAUGCUGCAGCGACAGCAGCAUGCUGCAACAUCCAACUUUCCGAAGUUGGUCGAAAUGGAGUCGAAGACGCUGGAUAUGCUGCAGCGGCAGCAGCAACAACAGCAAGCAUCAAUUCAUCAGCAUCAAGAGUAUGAGCAUCAGGGGAACAACUCAGUUGAGGGGUUAAUCUACGACAUUUCUGCCGAGACGUCGUCUGGUUGUAGAAGAAGGCGGAUACGGGAUUGGAGCAGUGACUUUCAGGAGAGGUGCUCGCAAGUCAAUUUGGAGGAUUGGGCAUCUCCACGUAGUACUGAUGGAGAGGAGCACAUCAGUCUGCAUAUGCACGACCAAUGGAACACUACGAAAAAUCAUGAGCUCGCCACUGCACUUCAAGAUUGUGCUCCUACCACCAUCAGAAGCAAAAAGGCCAAGGUCCUGAAGCUACAGCACCACCCGCGGGAGGAUCCAAGAUGUAUAGUGAUGUCUUCACCGGUUAGUGCAUCUCAAGAUAAGUGUAGGACCAACAGCGGUACCACGUGGGAAAUUCACCUGCAACAGUGGAACGGCAUGCAAAGAUCAUCGAAACUAGGGGCCGUUGCAACCGGGAAGCAUGCAGAAGCCGGGAGCGCGAGUCCUGAGGGACACGGAUCAAUCUCAUUGGGUGCUCCACACGUACUUGUGGAUCUCGACGAUGAAAAGAAACUUACAGAAAUCCACUCAGAAGAAGCUAGAAUAAAAUCAUCUGUGUCCAUGACAAGGAGCUCGGAGGACAAUAUGAAGAGCUUACAAGAAACUCACAGGAAUAUUGACCUCCAUCAUCCAAAUCCUUGCAGAGUUGCUGGCGCUGGGAUAAGCUUUGAGAUGGGCUCCAAUACUUUCUUAUCGAAUGGAAUGACAAAAUCAUACGAGACUCGGGAGUUGCCAAAUCAGCUCUGCUCUGGCAAUGGUUACGUCGGUGGGUCCGCUUUCACUGGGAUGGAAGCAUGGCCGCAAGGAGGAGGAGGCGCAAACGACUAUUUAUUGCACACGAGCGCUGCACACAUAGCUCAUCUGCUCGACUUUCAAAUACAAGAGAACCAACGGCAUCUGAAACAGGGCAUUCUGAACUACCUUCCUGACGACUACAUGAGUGGAUCAAGGCUCGCAGACACGGUCGACUAUGAGACAGGGCUACGGACGGGUUCAUCUGGUGUUAACCUGCAGAAGAAUGGGUCAUCGCUCUGCUACAGUGACUUGAGCAUGUUACCAGGACAGGAAUUUGCCGCAGCUAAUGAUACCCUCCUGGAUUCUCGAUGUAGUUCUGAUGAGCAUCUUGAAGCUAGAGCUGCGUACGAGAUGGCUCGAACUGAGCAACAUCAAGCUGGUCUUCUCAGCAAGAGCGGCUUCAAGCGUUCAUCUAAAGGAGGUCCUCGUCGGCCAAACAUCAUCAAAGGGCAAUGGAGUCCCGAAGAAGAUAGGUAUGUUGAGUUCGUUAUGUGAGUAACUCCACCAGAAUCUUACUAAAAAUUGAAGGUGAUUAUGUGAAGGCUUUGUUAUGACUUCUAAACCUUAAAGCGGUUGGGUUACAAGUAAUUAGUUUGGUUCUAAAACUAGUUCACAGCACCUAUGAUGAAUGAAAUCGAUUUGUAACUGCACCUAGUAGGUACUUGGUGGGCCUGGUGGAAAUGCAUGGACAACAGCGCUGGUCGCUUAUUGCCACACAGUUGCCGGGCCGUAUUGGAAAGCAGUGUCGAGAGCGCUGGCACAAUCAUCUCCGACCUGACAUUAAGGUAAUCACUCAUCCCUGCGCAUCAAAAUUAUCCCUCAGCUUCCUAAUUUGAUUUAGCAUCUAGUGCUUCGCUGCUAAGAAGCUGACAUGCCUUUAAAAAUUGUAAUUCUUUGAAAUUGAAAAUCAGUGAGAACUCGACUGACUUCAGCGUUUCCAGUUGUAAAGGACGUUGAUUUGGUUGUUCGAUGGCUGUUGCAGCGAGACGGAUGGAACACGGAGGAAGAGGAAGCUCUAGUGUCAGCUCACAACAAACUCGGUAACCGUUGGGCAGACAUCGCCAAGAUGAUUCCUGGUCGCACAGAGAAUGCCAUCAAAAAUCACUGGAACGCCACCAUGCGACGGAAAGACAUGCGACGCAAGCACAGGAGGGUAACGGACGGAUCCUCUGACAGUUUAGAAGUUGUUCCGCGCUGCACAAUUCUGCGCGAUUACCAGCAAAAAGUGGUUGCUCAGCGAGGUGGGCGAAAGGGCAAGGUGCUCAAGUCUCUCGCCACUAUCGACAAUGAAAGCCGCUUCAACGAAGGCAACCGCAAUGACACACAAUCUCGUACUUCUGAAUUGGGUUCUCCGCAUCUGACAUGCGAUUCCCCUUCUGGCUGGAUGUCCAACGAGGUACAAUGCACCUCCUCUGCCUUCAUACAGUUUUCAUGCAGUUAUUUUUUGCAUGCCAACCAUAGACGUAUUUCCAAAUAUUUUCGAUCUGUUGCUAGCCUUAGCUGUGCAGGUUUAUCUGACUUCAUAUCUAAUACAAUACCUUGGUUUUUCUUUGUUGCAGACUGAAAAGCUCUCACUUCCUGCACGCUUUUUGGAAAUGAGCACCACAGAACCUGAUCACACCAUCGUGGACAUGAAAAUUCGCGCAAGCGAUUCGCAAAAAGAAUGUGACAGGUCACGAACAACAACGCAUCAUGCGAAGGGCCUAGCACAAGACAAUCCAUUUUCCCUAGCGAGGUCUGUGGGUUUCGAGGCAUCCUCCGCAAAUCCCACAAAAUCACUCGUUUCUAUUUGGGGUCAAGGAGCAGGGAGCUAUUCAAGACCCCCUGUGACUUUUUGGGGUGGUGAACAGUGGGAAGGAGCCGGCUCAGAGGUUUUCUAUACAGAACCGGCUGCCUCGGAUAGAGUAGAGAAUGAUGAUGCGGCUGUUUGGGUGACUCAAAUCAAUGUACCUGAUUUCGAUGUCACACCACGAUUCUCAGAUGCUGCCCCUGUCUAUCAAAGCUCAGAUAUACGAAACCUCAAGGUCACGGAUCAGACCAUGACUUUUCAGCUUGGAACCCUAGACCAAAUUGUGAACGGCAGCUCCAGGAGCACCAGUAGCCCCCCACCUCUGCUUCCUGACUCCCUCGACGUAGAAGCAGCAUCCUCUCAAUCCACACAAAUUUUGCAACAGGGAAAAAGCACGUUUACAAACAAGGAUUUGUCUACCCAAGCGUAUCUUCCUUUAAAUGCGACUUGUAGUACACUCCAAGGCAGUGACCAUUUCCAGACUUCUGUAGUGCUGGAGAAGCACGUUGACAACGCAUCGGGUGCAGCAGAAAGUGUCGUUAACUUCGAGCGCACAGGGAUUCAGAAUGCAGGUGACAAUGUGUUGACGCUGCCCGAAAGGAUUGGGAAUUACGCUCAUGAAAUCAUCAGAUCUACGUCGACGCACCCGGACAACAUCCUCACUGCCGCCUCCAAUAUUUGCAAGCCCAUGAUGGUCGUCGGGCUGAGCAACAACAGAACCAUUAACAUUCCAAACCAUCAACUACCAGUGAACUCCUUCGAAAACACCCAUGCAAGUCAUGUUCCGAGGCUGCCUAUCUUCUUUGGCAACCUGAGUCAUGACACAUUCAGUUUUCACCACCAGCAGGCGGUGAAUCGUGUCACAGGAUCUCCUGAUCAUGAUAUCAGCGAUAUCACUAGCAUGCUGCUCCCGCGGGUGCUCAUAUCGUCUAUGACGGACGACAUCACCUCCGUAACCUCCGGAUCCACCUCCUUCUCCAAUUCUGACUCCCUCAGCCGGAGGUACUGGAAUCAAUCACCUCAAUCCAGCCCCAAGCGAGGACCAAGCGAUCUCGACCUGGUGGAGCUUGUCGCUAAACCUCUAGACCAAGCUCCAUACUUGCGAAAGGUAAAGCACCAUGCCAGCUCGGAAUCACUGAGGGUGAGCUCCAAUGUGUGCACGGUGCCCAACGUCUCAGAGAACGGGAUAGACAUACGUGGUAUCAACUUCCAUAGCCAUGGCCACCACGAGGCGGAGUCUAAACUUAUUCACAUCUGCAGCAAAAUGCGCUCCCAGUGGCAGCUUGGCUGCAUUGCCUUAGCCCACAGGUAGAAAAUCACUUCUCCUUGUCACUCUGCCUGCUUCUCCAUGUUCUACCAUUUGCAUCGAUCAGGUGCAAGCUCCGUGAAAUGAUCAAUCAAUAUUCGUCCUGAAGUCGAAUUUCAUGCACAUGUAAAUUACAGUGUUACCAAGCGCAACUAAUAACAGUGUUGUAUUGGUAGUAAGAGGUUCUUAUUACCAUCCUCACCACUCAUUCAUUGAAGUGUACUUGGUUCAAACCCACUAUCAUUCGUCUAAGUAAAGUUUUUCAUGUCUGGGUAAGUAUACUAACAUGUCUAAUAAGUGACCAUGAUUUGAAGAACCUCCCUUUGCCGAAGGGACACUAGUUGUUACCUAGCGCUAUCAUACCAAGUGGAUCUCCAACUCGGUUGUUUUUAUAUUUGUUUUUCAUUGUUCCCAGUUUGUUUCGACUUGUGUAUGCAACGGAGUGAUAAUAUAAAGCACGAAACGGUGGCGGGUGUCUAUUCUUGCACAGUGAAUUUCGCAUGCUGGGUUGAGUAAAGUGGACCUAAUCGUGUAUAUUUGAGCUGAAUUAAGGUGGGUCAUGUUGGCAUUAGAAUGGGCGUAGUGGGUGCAGGAGAGGUGUAUGCAGUGGUGGCGGUGACGAGCCAGGACUUCUCACAGGCCACGAACGCAGUCAAUUUUGCUGUGGAAUGCCUCCAGAGUGAAGUAUCAGCCUUCCUGCAUCAAGAUGUCCUUCUCUAGCCCUGUCUCUUAUCUAGACGUUUCUGUUUAGUGGUCAGUUCCUAACACACGCAGAAGAUCUGCUUAAAAAGCAUUAAAACAAUUAGUGGCAAAAUGACAUUCUGAGAAGCUUUAAGUAAUCCACUAAUCCUCUGGUAUCCCUUAUCUCUGGGCCUUGUCAUCUCGUCUGCCUGCAAUGACUCAUUGAGACCACGCAAUGGGUUAUACCAAUUUUCGUCUUGCUAUUAUGAUGCGCAUUGUUAUCAAGAUCCGACGAAUCUGAACAAAAACUGGCCAAGUUGAAGCUCGAGAAGCAGCAGCGUUUCUCAUUAUAAUCGAGUCCCAUUAAAUGACUUGAUGUAGAAGAUAAUUGUGGAGAACUAUAAUAACUCGCCACUGUGUGUACGAAGAGCAUUAAUCAAGACACAGAGGUCAAGACAUCUAACGAAAUCUGCACUGUCAUGUCCCCGCACUGUACAACUUCUUACAACAGUUUACUUUUUGCCCAGCCUCCUCAACACCAAACGCCGAAUGGUAGGUUUCCUGACGAUGUUCCAGGGGCCUUUCUUGACUUGUGUCAAUAUUCAAUGCUUCGAGGUCGGCGUAGGAUUUGUCAAGAGAUCACACCCAUCUCGGAGAGAGCACAAAAAGCGAGAGCCUCUCCUCAUCAACAAGGUUCCUAACGAACUGCAUCGAUGAGUGCAGGAUCAAUGAUACCAGACCCGAUGUUUCCAUCCGAAAACGAUGAAACUGUUGCAAUAAUUCUAGAGUUUGUGUCCACGAUCAUCUGCCCCUGGAUACAGCAAAACUUCAUCUGUAACAUCUCACUUGGGACAACAUGCUGCUGCCAUCCAGAGCACACAGUUCCUCGUCACACUGGCAAGGUCUCACAUUCACCACUCACAUUCCUUUCAUAAUCCAAUGUUAGAAUAAAACAAAAUAUUUCAGGUUUUGCUUGUUUUGUUUUGCUCUUGUUCCCUUUGGUUUAUUUUGAGGUACUUUGUCUCAAUCCAAUUGAUAUUGAAAUUAACUAAAGAUAACCAAGGUUGCAUUAUUAGGUCAUUUCCCUACCACUUUUAGCUCAAAAUGUUAUAAAAAGAAAGAAAAAUGAAAAAAGAAAAAGAAAGAGUUAUGGAAGAUGGAAAGUUUGAAAUUGCAUGAGGGUAGGAUUUGUUCUUAACAUGAUGCAUUUUAUAUAUAUAUAUAUAUAUAUAUAUAUAUAUAGUGAGAGUACUAUGCCUACUUAUGUCACAAUGUAAAUUAUUAUUUACUUCUCAAAAAAUUGAGAUUUAUGCAGCAUCUAUAUUCUUGUUUAUAGAGGCAUUUGUUUUAUCAAGUAAAGUUGAGCGAAUAUAAUAUAUAAAAAAUAUUGCACAUAUAUAGAGAUGGACAAAUAAAUAGGUAUUAGGUAUGAAUUUUGUAUCAAAAAUUUAAACAUGUUCAUAUAAAUAACUAUUAAUGAAAAAAAUAUGAGACAAAAAUUCUCUAAAUUAAAUAUGAUCAGAAUUUAUCCUAAUUGAAAAAAUUAUAAAAAAAUUAGAAUAUAAUUUAUUAAUAAUUUGAUAUAAUUUUAAUUUUCAUACAAUAUAAAAUAUUAUUUUAAAAUUUAAAAUACUCAUAAAAAAUUACUAGAUAUGUAAUGAUAUAUGUAGAUACAAGUUAUUGCAGUACACAUGUGUGUGCAUAUAUUUUUCUAUUUCUUUCUUACUAAGUUAUAAUUUAUAUCAUUUAAACUUAUUUUACUAAAAUAAUAAAAAAUAAUAUUUAUUAAGUACUUUGUGUACAUUAUUUAUAAAGUAAUUAAUUACAUUUAAAAAUAUUAUACCAGUAUUUUUAUUUGACUAUUCAAUAAUGAGUUAUUUGAAAAAAUAUCAAAUAAUUUAUCAAAAUCUUGAAAUGAGACAGUAGUAAAAAAUAUAAAAUAUAAAAAUUAUCCAUCUUAUAUAAUCUCUUUAAAAAUUUAAAUGCAAUUUUAUUAUUUUUAAAAUGAAAUAAAAAAGAAUGUAGAUAUUAAAUUCUUUAAAAAUAAAAGAUUAUUUAUGUAAUCAUAUAUAUAAAGAUGUACAAUUUGAUGUUUUUAAUGAAAUAGAUUUUUUUUUAAUAAUAAUUUUUUUAAACCUUUAUUUAGAAAUUUAAAUAAAUAUAUUUAUUAUAAAAUCAAAAAAAAAAAAAAACAUAUACACAUACACAUACACACACAGAUUUUUAAACAUAAUUAUUAUUGAAUGCUUAAUUUUUAAUUUUAAGUUAAUUGCAGAACAUAUUAUACAUUUUUUUUAAUUCCAAUAUUUAAGAUUGCAUAAAAUUAACUAUAAAAAAUUAUAUGCUGUAUGAAAUUAAUUAUAGCUUUAUUUUAAUACAUUUUAAAAUAAAUAUAUUUAGUAAAAUUUUCUUAUUAAAAAAUUAAAAUUUUAAGAAAAUAUGCUGUAUUUUCUGUCAUGUUUUAUAUGGCAAAUAUGUCAAGAAUAAUUAUAAAAUAUAUAUGAAAAUCAAAAAAUAAAAGAAUAAAAAUGUAUUGUUGAGACAUUACACUUUAUUAUCAAUAAGAGCCAAAAAUCUUCCAUCUUCAUUUAAAGACCUUGUUCAAUAAGGGGAAUCCUACAAAAAGAAAGCCAUAGUUGAGGAAUACAACUAGUGCAAGAAUGGCCCAUCUCUUUUAAGUGAUCCUUCAAAAAAUUGAAUCUAAUCUAAAAAAUCUUAUUACACUCUAAUCAACUUCAAAUAAACCUUAAAAAUUAUUUAAAAAAUCUAAUUCAAUCCUAAGGAAAUUAUAAAAAAUGCUAAAGAGAUCUUGAAGAAAUAUUUAAAAAAUAUUUAAAAAAUAAAAAUAAAUUUUAAUUAAACUUCAAUUAAAUUAUAAUCAAAUUUUAAUCAAAUCCUAAAUAGAUCCUAAAAACUCCUAUAGCAAAUUUUAAAUCUCAAAAAUUUUAAAUUUUAUUGUUAAUCUUGAAUCAAAAAUUCUUAUGCCUUUUAGUUAAAUAAUCUAAAAUAUUUAAACAAAAUUUAAAAGAUAUUAAACAUAUAGAUCAAGAGAAAAUACUUCUAAUUUGCUUGAGUGUUGGCCAUCUUCCUUCUUCGUCCUCAAUGGUAACCUUCUAGUAUCCAUAGCUCUUAUUUGAACUAUUCAAUUACUCUUAAAAUUUUUUACUUUAUUAAAAAUUAAGUCAACUAUUAGUAUGUAUAAUUUUUUUUUAAUUCAAACAACGAAUUGCUCAAAACUAUAGAAACCUUCAUAACCUUUAUAAUCUAAUUUCUAAGAUUCUAAUAUAAUUAAUUAUUAAUUAUAUUUAAUUUGAUCAAUUAAUUAAAUUUAAUUUCAUAAAAUGCAUUUAUCACAACUAUUUUUUAUAAAUUCAUAAAAUUUUACUUGUAGAUUUACUUAAAUAAUUACAUAAUUUUCUAAAAUUUAAUAUUUCCAUUAUUCUACAAAAUAAAAUAAAAUAAAAACUCAAAUCAAUCCUAACUUUGUAAAGCUCUUAAUGUCAUUAUAAACUCAAAUAGCUCAAAACCAACACUCAAAAAAAUAAUAUUAUGUUUUUUUUCAAAUCCUACUCUUUGAUUUAGAGAAGAACCCCACAUUUGAUAUAGGUGUAUAAUUAUGUGCCUCAAGGUUUGAUCUUAACCUUAGUUUAGAACUUGUCUUCUCUCAAUAUCAAUCUGAGUUUUUUAAAAGAAAUGUUUAUAAAAAGGCACUCUUUACUUUUAUCUAAAAAUACCUAUACUGUUAUUUUUGCAAAAAUAAUUUAUUGUGUAAAAUUUAUGGCCCUACAAAAUAAGUAGAUUUUUUUUUUUUUUUUUUUUUUUUUUUUUUUAAAUCAAAGGCAACAUUAACAUUAAAUUGUUUUUACUACCUUCCUUAUUUAUGAGUGUUUCUAGAAUAAUUUUUUAAUAUAUUUUAAAACAAUCUCUUUAAUAUUAUAAUCCUUCUAUUUCUCUUUUUUCCAAUAGCCAUGUUAUUAACAUAUAUAAAGACAUCUACAGCCAAAAGAAGAUAGUGCUUCCAAAAAAAUGUUGUGAAAAAAUGAGAUCUUGAUAAAUUUAAUCUUUGGAUAAGAUGUAAGAUUUUUUAAUCUUAUUAAAAAUAAAGGAUGAUGUCCAUCCCUCUUAAAUUUUAGAAGUUUCUAAAGGUUUUAAAAUUAGCUUAUUUUGGAACAAAACGAGAUUUUAUUUUUAGAGUUUUUAGAACAAGAAUAAUUGCUCUAUAUUCAAUUCAUAAGAAGCUUUUGUACCCCAAAAAUUGUUUUGCAUGCAUAAUGUCUAUUAAAAAGAUACUUAUUAGAGUAGUUUAAAAUGCAUCUUUUUUGUAUUUUAAAUAAAGAAAUUGCUUUCUAGUAUCACAAAUUUUGACUAAGCAAAAGCAAGACUACAACCAAGAUAUAUUAGAAGAAGAAACUAAUCGCCAUUUUAUACCCAAGCUUGUUUAAAAUUCAAAGUUGUAAUGUUUGAAUUAUUAUCAAUAAAUUAUUGGUUGAGUGAUUUGAGAUUGGUGUUAGUAUAAAAACAUUCGAAGAUGAGGUAGAUGUAACUUAUAGAUUUCAACCCAUCAACACAGGUUCAAUUUGACAAGUUUUACUGCAAUCUGUGAGUUAAAGAGAAUUGCAAUAAGAUAAUUUACUCAAAAACUAUGUGUUGAAUUAACAUUUCGAUUAUUGGAUGAUCUCUAAUAAAUCUGACACAAGGAUGGAGAGGGGUAUGAUUUUCUAUGGAGAUAAUUCUAAACUUCGUACUUCUACCGCAAAUUAUCUAACAUGGAGUCUAUUUUAGAAGGGCUGAUGUGGCUUGCCUCAACCAGCUGAUACAGGAAGUUGCGGUGAAAGUGUUACAAAGAUUUGUUAACGCAGAAGGUCAAAUCCUCAAAACAAAUUCACAUUAACAUCAACUCCAAAGCCCACAGAAAAGUUCCACAAUUCCAUUCGAAUAGUAAAAAGGUCAUGUUUUAGAGUCAUUGCAUAAUAAAAAUAAAAAUAGAACAAAAAUUAGUCGUGGUGGGCUGUAUCCAGUAGUUAUAUUUUCUUAUAUUACCAUUUGCAAGACAGUCGGUUACUGCCUACACCUCAUAAUGAAACAUGCGUUGAUGUGCAGAGCUAGUUUCAGAGGAAGUAACAGAUCACGAUGUAGAUCCACUGGACGUCAGGAUAGACAUUGCGGUGAUAACACAGUUCUGAAGUAUAGGAUUUAAAAACGUACUAGCCAUACAUGUCUCAACAGUAGGAAUAAUAGAAGUUUCUAUGUUGCAUUCAGAAAAGGUGAGAAAAUAGAGACGACUGAAACAAUAAGAUGAUAUCAUUUGGUGAUGAUAGGUGACAAUAUACAUGUUAAUUACAUAAACUCUAGUAUCCCAAUGGCUUGUUGACAGGAUGAACUUAAAAAAUAAAAAUAAAUAAAAACUGUGUGUACAUAGCUGCCCCAAUAGCUUACAGCCUCACUAAGGUACUACGACAUUCGAUGGGCAAGCACUUCUGGCGAUGUGAAACUUGGGUUCCUGUGGCACAGUUAGCUUCCUGGUAGAUCUGCAGUGGAAAGCCAGAACGACUGUUAUUAAUUUACGAGCAAUACUUUGAAGACAUAUGAUUCAGCAAAAUACGAAGUGGUGCAAGAGCUGUGCACUUACCGAUGUGGCUUGAAUGGGCGAUCGAAUAGAGGGGCCUUUUGUGCUGGAGGGAUCACAGCUUUAGCAACCGUACCUUCAACCUCCUUGUCACCCUGCGUAGACGAAUAUAAAUACAGCAUGCUUAAAAUGACAUUAUCGACAUAAUCGAAUAUGGAUCGAUAAACCGAGAUAAAGCUCCCAUGUAGCUCUUCAUGGAGAGACUAGGAAGGAACAGAGAAAUUUUCACCGUAAUCUUAGCACAUACCCGUUUAGCAGAAAACCCAUGAGAACUGCCAGGUUUCAACAAUCUCCCUGGGAUCUGUAGUCAGGUUCACCAAGUCCAUUCACAAGAAUGUAGAACGUUAAAACACAGAAAACCAGGAUUCGAGACGAACACACGGUGAUGUACAUGCAAAUCGUAGAGAAUUUGAACAUUGCUCAUUACAGCACACAACGCACACAACCAUCCUCCCGAGCAGCGAACGCAGUGAGUGCAGACUCCCAAAAUAAUCUUAGUCAUGGCCCUUGGGAUUAUCGUCACUACAUCCACAAAAAUUUACCUUCGGCUCUGCUACCGCAAGACCUUGAAAGGCGGAGUGAAAUCCUUCCUUGGCUGCUCUGUGUUUCUCCACUUUCUUCGAGAAUUCCUGCUCCUUAGCCGCCCCCCUCUCCUGCACACGGUAAAUAGUCGAAAAGUUUAAAAGAUCAGCAGCAUUGUGAUGAGUGCGAAGUGUCCUUACUGACUCCACAUGAUCAGCACAGUGCAUGAGAUCUAUCGACAAAGGCAGGCUGAAAUAAGGUUCACCUGCGUGCGCAGCCGAAAUGGUUGCGGAUUGGUUACUCGUGGAUUGGUGACUCUCCAGGCAAGUGAAAGUCGUUUCAUUCUAGGCCUAGGAAGGUGAGGUGAUUUAGAAACAGCGGAAGUCUUGGCAUGGCAAAUCUGCAGUGAUGGCUGCUGUCAGUCGAGGAUGGAGGGUAGAUAAGUUAAAACGAUCGAGCUAAACCUCUGAUGAAAUAAUGAACACAUGAAUAUGCUCAAGUAACUGGAGGUGUAUUCAAUAGGUGAGAAAUGACCUUUUUGGACAUUGAUUUACAGGUAUCGCUCUUGGCAAAAUUGGCUCUCUUGCUGGCUGCUUCCAGCAACAACUCUCUACUGUUCCUGCAAGAGCCAAUGCGAGAAAAGAAUCCAACCCAUCACCAUUCCGUUGGGGACAUUGGCAAUGGUCAAGGGAAUUUGAAAAAAACGAAAAUUAGGGAAGCUUACCCCUUCCUUCCGUGCUUGCUCUGUGCCAGUUCCAAGUCACUUAAAUUUCUCGUCUCCAAGUAAUCCAUAUUUUCGCAGGCCACCUCGCAGUCCAUUCCUGCUGCAUUCGGUUGUUCAUCUAGUCCAUUUAUAGAACUAUUCGCCAAGCCCAUUCCGGAGAUCCCGGCAGCCUUGUCACUGGUCGACGAGCCUCCCACCCUUUCUACAGCAACACCAGAAGAAAGAGACUGCUUAGGUUCGACAAUCCUGGAUUCCCCCGCCAAUGAGACAAUCUUGAAAUCCUCGUCUUCAGGCUGGGUCACCUCAGGGAUUGCACAUGCAUUGAGGGACUCAUGAAUUAUCUGUUCCUCCAGCAAAGUUGUUUGAGCACGGUCCAAAGUCAUCCUCAGGAAGCUAUCGUCCAAGGAAGCUUGGAAAUGGUCAUUGACAUUGGAAUAAUGUUUGUUUUCUCCAACAACGGAAGUGUCUGUGACAGCUUGGUGCGCGUCAUGGAGAUCAGCAUGAUUACAACCCUCAUCACCCUUCUGAGCUUUAUCACACUGCAGCCUGGAUUUCCCUAGUGUUAUUUCUUCAUUACAUGUCCCCACUCCGGCAAGAGAAGGCGCGGCGUUUAUAGCCGAUCCCGGAAUGCCAUUACUGGCAUUGAGAUACUUCCUAGCAGGCGCUGCAGACAAGGAACUAGGGUCAAUGGCAGCGCAUAUCGAGGAUUUGGAGUGGUGGCCAGUGUUGGGUAACCCAGUUUUUUCGGUGCAGGCCAUGACCUGGUGCCCUGAGAUAGGUUCCGUCACGAUGAUUUUAUACGCAGACGCUGUGGAGCCAUCAUCCUCGCCUGUCGGUGAACAAGCUACGAUGACAGCGUUUAAUUUCAGGACAUUCACAGCUACUCCAGAGGCAAUAUUUGUUCCAAAUGGUUUAAGUGCAUUUGGUUUCAUUAAGACUUUCUUAUCAGCCGAGGAGUCAUCGUAAUUGUUCUUUGUCAUGCAGGGAUCUCCCGAGAACUUCGGAAUGUGAUGUACAUCACUAGCGCCAGCAGUUCGCCUCGGCUCGAGGAACUUCUGGCUGCACUGACGGGCAAGCGCUGGCCUCUCUUCAGGACCUUGACGGGUAGAUUUCUCAACAAUUGAAGUAGAAGCAUCAGCGAUUUGAAUGGGGUUCGCAGAAGGAUUAGGAUCUUCAUUCUCAGAUGCUCGCGAUGUCUUGACAAGACGUAUGGAUCUCAGUGAUGCAUUGCCAUCCUUACCCUGAAACUGGGGAGUGCUGUCAUACGCAUUAUUCUUUACAUUCAAGCUCUUGCUUGUUAAUGGGCUCAUUGAGUCUGACACGGUCCCAAUGAGUCCUUUCUUGGCACUGCAGUGAUGAGGUACCAAGUCAAACCAAUGUCUCACCACAACCCUAUUCUAGAUCCAGGCGUUCACAAAGUACAAGACAGGAGACAGAACUCAAAUCAGGGAACAGGGUACAAAUUAGAGACUAGUCACGUAGACAGGAAUACGCAAACAAUUGAUCCAGCAUAUCAAAACCCAAAUUUGAUGAGAAAUCAGGAGAGCGAAUGGUAGAGAAAGGCAAAUUUAUUGCACCGAGAUUUUUACAAGGCUUCACAUUAACCCACAUUGUAUUAUCAUCUAUGUGAAGUGCAAACUGAAGUUCUGAACAUCUGGAGGACAACUUUAGUGACAUUCCUGGCGAUGUCAUAUAAACAUACUUUUCGAUAGUAUACAAUGCCUAGCAUACGACCUAAUCUAUCGUUCAGUGAGACAGGUAUACCCGCGAGCACAAGGAGGGGAAGUAUACAAGUUAAUAACCCUCUCUGAGCCCGCGAGACCAGCAAGAUGAGAAAGGAAAUUGACUAGCCAGGACUUUAAGAUUAGACACGAUGAAGGGCAGCAAGAAGGUAGAACUUUCAUAGGACCUGCCAACAGCUUUUUCCGCAGGAAGUGGAGACUUGAUUGGUGCUUGCUGUUGUAUUACGGGAGCUGCUUUCGAGGUACCCUGCGCUGCAACCUAGAAUUACCAGCUACAACGAAAGAUCAGAUUCUUGCAUAGUCAGAUCCCUCUGGGCAGCUUUCAGAUCGUCCAGAAGCACACACCUACACACCGGAAGAUGACCUUCAAUGGGUCACGGUUAGCUGUGGGAAUGGAUAAGGGCGAUGUACUUACCGUGUGUUCCUUCCGUGUCAGCAGGUUCACCUCUUCAACGAGCACUGCUUUCUUGAGCUGUAUGCCUGGGAAACCACAUCGACUAGCAGAUGUCGGCUCAAUUACACACAAGAUAUGAAUCAUAUGGUUUGAGACAAGGCAAACGUCGACUGCGACGACAUGUUGUAGCAUGACUGAGGGAGUUGGGAUUAUGUCUAUGAUUCCAGGAUUUACAGCACUACGAACAGGAGGAAUGAUGGUUGGGAGCCGCUCGGUCUGGAAUUAUCUGUCCUUAAAAGAACUCGACGGUUGAACAUAAAGUUGAACUUUGAGGAGAACACAGAAGUUACGCUCUACACCCAACCUUUCCUAAUGCAUCCCCAAGUGAAGAAACAGCCUGUGUAAGCUCAUAAGUAACGAGGAGGUGAAGCCACGGGCAUACCAGGAUUGGCCAAGAAGUACGCAUCCGGGUCAAUAGGCUCCUCAGGUGCAGUAAAAUCGUGAAACUUCGGUGCUAGAAAGCUCUCGUAGAAGUCGUCGGUCUGAAAAUUUCCAUCGCAGUUACCCCCAAACGCAGAGUCUAUCGACCCCAUUCUCCCCACCACCUUCCGUGGACCCAGCUCCACCAACUACCUUAUCAAAUUCCGGUGAUAACUCGCACCGUCUCCCCCUCUCGAAACCCAAAACAAACAGACAUUCCACACUCACAACACGCACGUUCUCGACGUCGUUGCAUAAAGCCUCACCAUUCCCACAAACAUUCCGCAACGACCACGACACAUGAGCUCCAAACGCAAAAGUACACUAUCACCUCCAAGAAGGGCGCGAUUCUGUGACCUAGACCUGGAGAUGCAAGCAAACGCGGCAAAUGUGGGUGGAAGAAACAGAAUCGGAAUUCUGGAAGUGAACUAGGGCGUGCGCCAAUGAGGAUAUACGAGCCCCGAAUUCUUCAAAAAUUGAAGCUCAAACGGCUACUUUCGGCGGCGUCACGACAGUUGUCGUAGAGGGCGAGUAAUGUCAGCGGCGGUUGUUGUAAUGCCCAGUCCUGAAUCGCGGGUUGGUGGGGGAGGGGGACCCGCUGAGGAUCCAACGUGGAAUAUCGUGCCACGGUGGCAACUUCGAAAUGUUUCAGACUGUUAUUCCGAAUGGGAUCUCCCAUUUUGUGAAAUGAAUAAGCAAAUUAAGCAUUCAAUUUUUUGUUAAAAUCACAUUAGAUGAUUUAUUUUUAUUUAUUUAUAUAUAUAAAUAUAUAUAUAUAUACACUUACACACACACACACAGGGGAAUGAUAAAGUGAUCCAAAUUUUUACUAAAGUGACCCACCUUUACUAUCAUUCCAUCCUUGCAGUGCCCCUCCCUAUUUCCAGCAUGGAGGACGAAGGUCGGAGGGCAGUUCCUAUGUUCCUUGAAUCAUGUUGCACCAAAAAGUCUAUUACUUAUCCAGUCAAUAGUAGCCCCCCCCCCCCCCCUAUUGGCUCAACUUGUAUUGUGCACUAUCCAUUGAUAAGCCUACAUUGGUAUUUCUCACAAAGGGGGGCGCUCUCAUUUCUUGUAGAAAAGAAGAAGGUUUUGCUCCUAAGUAGCCCUUAUUUAGUAUGAGCUCUGCCAAAUGUCAAGCGACCUACUCUAUUAAACUAGGAAAUCAAUGACAUUAAUUUCCAAUGAAGGCUCUUACAUUUUUUUUUUUUUUUCUACUGUGGCAACUUCAUUUUAAUUUUUAUAUUAGAGACUUCAAUGGCUAUGUUGUCAUUUGAAUUUUUUGUAGAUUACUUUGAUCUUCCAUACUCUUGUUGUUAUAAAGUCAAGAAUUAGAGAAGCGAUUUUCACCUAAUUCCUUCAAAGAAAAGUUGUACAUUUUAUUUCCAAUUAUGUAAGUAAAAUGCUAGGCACUUACAUUUGGAUUUGUGCUCAUAUUAAAGAGGUAUGAUUUGUUGAAUUGAACAUAUUAAAGUUGCUAGAUUGGUGCUCCAUCGGAUAGAACCUAUUAGGAUAUAAACAUUAACUUCCUAACUAAUUAGAACAAAUAGAGUGAUAGGUACUUAAUCCUAGAUAUCAAUCCAAAUAUAAAUAAGAUAUCUAUCAAAUAUAGGUAACUCUUAUUGUAUAAAAAUAAUUCUUUGUAAAUGGAACUAGAGUUCACUUAUUUUAUCACUUGUAUUGGUGUCCUAGCAUUUGAGGUUAAUCUUUGUGUUUGGUAAUUUUUUACUCUUGUUGUGAAUUAUAGAACAUUGUCGGUCAUUGGUACUAUAUGCUCAUUUUUUUUGUUUCAUAAUCUUAAUUCAUCAAGCAAGAAUCAAUAUGAUAUCAGAGCAAAUAAUGUGAGAGAGAGAAUUCAAACUACAAGAGUGAACUAUGGAAGUAAUGGACUUGAUUAUUGCAACUUCUAAGAUGCUUGCAGGGCCCAAUAACUAUAAGAUAUGGAGUAGCACAAUUUGGAGCAUGAUAGAAAAUGAAGACCUAUUGGACGUGAUGGUUCCAAGUAAAAUCAUACAAAAGGAGGCUUCACCAUCAAUUAACAACACCUUAUUAAGCUCAGUCUUGAUGGAGAGAAAAGAAAUGGGAAGUAUUGAUCAAGUAGAUGACUGUGUCUGAGAAACUAAUUUAACAAAGCAAAAACAUAAAAUCCUCUAUAGACAAAGCAUAGAAGCCAUGAGAUUCUUCCAGCUAUCAUUAUCAAAAAUAGUAAAAUCCUAUAUCCUUGAUACUUCUAACCCUAUUAUAGCUUGGAAAAUCUUAGAAAAUAUAUAUUCAACAAAAAGAAUAGUAGAUAUGAUGAGAAUACUAGGCAAGUGGGAAAAUAUCAAGAUAAUAAAGAAUAUGAUAGUAUCCGUCUUCGUCCAAUAUAUAUACAACUUAUUGAAUUACUUAAAAGAAAUUAAUGAAUUGCCAAAGGAGAUUGUAAUUGUACAUAAGAUUUUUAAGAAUCUACUUAAAAAAUAUGAAAUAUUUGUAAGGAUACUUUAAUAAAAAAAGUAACGCCAAUUCUAUCAAAUCUGAAAAAUAUACUUCAUAUGAAAGAACUUGAGAUAGAAUUAAGAUUAAGGCAUAAUGAAAAAACAUUUAUGAUGAAUACAAAGAAUAUUCCAUGAAGAACUUUCAUUGGAUUCAAAAAUCUAAACUAAUUAAGGAAUAAUUUUCAAAGAAUACCUUCUCAAACUUGGACCAUUGUUGGAGAAUAACAUACAACAAUCAUAUAUUACUAAUGUGGCAAAUCAAGGCAUAUAGCAAGGUAUUAUUGAGCUUCUGAACCAAUCAAUGAGUAUCAACAACCACACAAAGCAAAUCAAAUAUCUGUUGAUAAAUUUCCUUCACAUAGUCAAAUUCAUAUACACAUUAAACAACAAAUGAGAAAUAAAUUACAACUAAGAUCUAUUAUUGGUAUAUUUAUUAGCUAUGAUAAAUAUACUAAAGGAUAUAAAAUAUAUUUUCAUCAUUUCAAGAAGAUCAUAAUCUCAAGAAAUGUGAUAUUUGAAGAAAAUAAAUUUAUAGACUAUAAAAAAACUCAAGAUGAAAAUCUUACAAACAAAAGUAUAGAAAUAGAGAUAUCAAUAGAAGAAGUUCAAUAUCAUAAUGAAUUAUCAAAAUUACAAGUAUAAGAUUUUUCAACCAAUAAAAAUUCUAUCUUAGAAGAUUUUUAUAAUAUAUCCAAUUUACAAGAAAAUAUAGAAAUUGAUGAUCAAAUAGAAUCUGAAAAUGAAAUAGAAAAUCUUUCUAAAAAUACACCUCUAUCUAAAUUUCAAUAACAUAAUAUAAGCCAAAAUAUAUCUAAUUUUAGCUAUACUCUAAGUAUUAAAAUUGAUGAAUGGCCUAAUAUUAAAACCAACAAUGAUAUAUCCUUUAUCAAAACUAUAGAUCCUUAAAAAUUGAAGAAAACAUGACUUGGCUUUCACCAAUUAUUACACAAGUAGGUAGAUAAACUAGACCUUUUGGAUGGAUGAAAGAUCAUUUUGCAAGAUUGAUGAUACUAUCAAAUAUAAAAUUAAUAACAUAUUAUAAAGUAGCACAACAUGAGGGAUGGAUAUAAGCUAUACAAGAUGAAAUGAAAUCUAUAUACAAAAAUGAGACUUGGUCUCUUACAAAUCUUUCAUUAGACAAAUUUAGUAUUUCCACGAAGUAGAUUUUUAAGGCUAAAUUCAAUAGAGAUGGAUCUUUAUAAAAAAAUAAAACAAGGCUUGUGGCAUAAGGAUUUGAACAAAAGGAAGGAAUUGAUUAUGAGGAAAUAUAUGCAUUAGUAGUUAAAUAAACAAUCAUUUGGGUGAUAAUAUUGAUUGUAGCUCAAAAGAAUUGGAAAUUAUACCACAUAGACAUAAAAACAACAUUUCUUUAUGGAUAAAAAAAAGAAGAGAUUUAUGUCUCACAACCAUAAGGUUUUGAAAUAUUUGGCAAAGAAAAUAUAGUAUGUAUGCUACAAAAGACAUUAUAUAAUUUAAAUCAUGUACUAGAGUAUGGUAUGAAUAAAUAAACUUUUACUUAAUAAAAAUGGACUUUCAACAAGGUAUAAAUGAUCAUAAUCAAUACUCAAAAUCAUCAAAAAAUAAGAUUAUUCUUAUUGCACCAUAUGUGGAUGAUCUUUUAAUGAAAAGAAAUUAUAUCCAUAAUAUGAACAACUUCAAACAAAAAUUCUAUGAAUAGUUUAAAAUAUAUGAACCAUCUAGAGCAGAAGUCAUGCUCUAUCUAAAAGUAGAAUGCAUAAUGUGAAAUAAGGAAUUUUAAUAACUCAAAAGGUCUAUCCACAAAAUAUUCUAAAAGAAUUUAGUACAAAAAAAAAAUUUAUCAACAAUAACACUCAUGUAUGAAAAAAUCAAAUUUAAAGACGAUAUAGAUGAAGAAGAAAUUGACUCUAUAUAAUAUAGAAGUAUAGUAGGAAAAUACCUACACUUAACUCACAUAUAUCUAGAUAUACAAUAUGCAAUAGGAAUAGUAAGUCGUUUCAUAGAAAGACCUCAAAAAUCACACAUAUUAGUAGCAAAAAGAAUUUUAAGAUAUAUUAAGAAUACUCAAUAUUAUAGAAUAUUAUAUCAAAAAAAUAAUCAAAUUCAUCUUGUUAGAUUUACAAACUCUGAUUGGAUAUGAGACUUGAAACAAGCUCGAUUAAUGAUAAGUUUUGUAUUUAAUAUAGGAAAAACGUCCAUAUCUUAGCCAUCAAAGAAGCAACCAAUAAUGGCUUUGUCCUCAUCUGAAGCAAAAUAUUGGGCAUUGGUAGAUGAUUUUAGAGAAGCAAUAUGACUAACUAUGCUUCUUAAAGAUUUGCAAAUAGAAAUCAAAGAAUCCACCAUUAUCUAUUGUGAAAAUGCAAGUAGUAUCAAUAUUGUGAUGAAUCCAAGAGUUAAUCCUAAGACUAGAGAUAUAGCAAUGUAUUAUCAUUUUAUUAGGAAAAAAAAAUCAAAUCUAGAGAAAUUAGUCUUCAAUAUAUAUCAAUCUUGGAAUAAGUAGCAGUUAUAUUUACAAAACUAUUGAGACAUAUCUUAUUUGAAAAAUUCAAGGAAAGACUAAACAUGAUCAAUGUAUUUAGUUUUAUCAAGUUAUUUAAAAAAGAAUUAAAAAAAAUCCUUAAAUUGAGUAUUUUUAAAUUUUUUAACUUGGAUCUCUGAUAUUGCUUAAGAAUUAUUUAUUUCAAGAUGAAAUAAAAUUUUUAAUCAUUGAAAUCUUCUAAUAAAUUAUAUCUUGUACCAACCCUAUUUUUGAAAUUUUGAAUCUCUUCAAAUCUACACCAACUAUCUCUUCUCAAGAAAGAAAUUCUUGUAGUUUAUUAUAAUUGAAAAUAUAGUUUAGAACCUCUAAAGAAAAGGAGGGUGUUGAAUUGAAUAUAUUAAAGUUACUAGAUUGAUGUCCCAUUAGAUAGAACCUAUCAAGAUAUAAACAUCAACUUUGUAACUACUUAAAACAAAUAAACUGAUAGGUACUUAGUCUUAGAUAUUAAUUCAAACAUAAAUAGGAUAUCCGUUGAUCAAGGAUAAUUCUUAUUGUAUAAAAAUAAUUCUUUGUAAAUGGAACUAUGAUUCACUUAUUUUAUCACAUGUAGUGGUGUUCUAGCAUUUGGAAUUAAUCUUUGGAUUCAAUGAUUUUUUGUUCUUGCUAUGAAUUAUAAAAUACUAUGAAUCAUUGGUACUAUAUGGUGAUUAUUUUUUGUUUUAUAAUCUUGUUUGAUAAAGCAAGAAUCACCAUGAUGUAGAUCAUUCUAGUCGAGAUAGAACAUAGUAUAGUUACUAUAACAAGUUCAAUUAGCAGGUGCACAACCUUUUCUCUAUUACUUUGAUUGAUUCAUGCUUACAAGAUGUAUGAUAUAAUAGUUUGAAGUGAUUACAAAAUAAUCUUUCAAGUCCAUAGUAUUUUUUUUGCACUAACCAAAAAGAAUUUUGUUUCAACGGAGGGCAUAGCUCCCUUAGCUAUAUUAUAUUUAGUUAUAUAUUGAUUUAUUAUCAACAUAUGUUAAUAUGUGAUUUUUCAAAAUAAAAGCAAGUUCACAAAGAAAACUUAAGCUGGUGCUUCUUCUAUGGUCUAAGGCCUUCAAUGAUCUACAUAGUAAUCUGAUAGUAAUAAAUGUAAAUUUUUAUUUUAGAUAUAGAUUAACAAAUAUGCUUUUUCACACUAUUGUAAUAUAAUAUGACUAAUAGGUGAAAGGGAUGAAAAAUCUAUUAUAUUAUAGAAGAUCUUAUUUCAAAUAUUAUAAAAAAUUAUCUUAGAAAAUAGACAAUAGUCCAAAAGAAAGUAGAAUUAAAGAUUUAAAUGCUACCUUUUUAUAAAGUAGGCUUCUAUUUACUUUUUAACGCUAUAAAUAAGAUAAAAUAAGAUAGAUUAAAAAAAUAGAAAAUAUGAACAUAUAUAAGAAAAAAUCAAGAGUUGAUUGGAAUAAAAAUUAAUUCAUAGGACAAAAUUUGAUACCCAAAGAGGGUUAGUUAUCAACUUGGGUCGAAACUAGAUCCUGAGGCACAAAACUAAGUAUCUAUGGCAAUUUAGAGGAUUUUAUUUAUAGAUAUGAAAGUCGAAUUUGAGAGCAGAGUUGAUAGGAUUCCUUUGAGCAUUGAUUUUGAGAGAAUUGAGUAUAUAAUGGCUUUACAAGAGCUUUAAAAAGUUACAAUUAUUUGGAUGAUUUUGGAAUUUGUGAAAUAAAAAAGAUAUUAUAUUUUGGAGAAUUUUGUAAGUUUGGUAGUAGAUCUAUAAUUCAAAUUUUGAUGAAUUAUGAGAAUAAUUAUCUUAAGUAUAUGUUAUAAGUUUGAGCUUGAUUAAAUAUUUGAAUUGAAGGCUAUUAAAUUUCAAAUAGGUUGAGGUCUCAAAAAUUGGACUUUGAGAGGUUUUUAGGAUUUCUAAAAUCUUUAGCAAUGUACUAGUUGGAUUGAGAUAAAAUUUAUGUUUGAAGAUAGGUGACUUGAAUUUUUACAUGUAUUUGUGAUUUGAAAACAAUUGAAUGGUUUGAUAAGCAAAUAUUGGCUCUAGAAGUUCAAUAUUUAGAUUGGAAUAGGAGAUUGAUCAACACUUGAGUAAAAUUUAAGGUUUUUUUUUUUUUUUUUUUUUUUUUUUUUUUCCAUUUGAUAAGUGUAAUUAUCUUCAAAAUUUUUAUACUUAUUGCCGACUUAGUUAUUGAAAGGUGUGUAAAAUUUUAAGUAAGAUCAAUUAUUCAAUUGAUAGAUAUUGAGAUUUCAAAUUGUACCAAGAUUUGAACUUAGGUUUGGUUUAGGUUUUAGGAUUUUUUAAGGAUUUGAUUUAAGGUUUGAUUUAAGGUUUAGGAUUUGUCUAAGAUUUGAUUUAGAGUUUGAUUUAGGAUCUAAGAUUUGAUCUAGGAUUUGGUUUAAGAUUUAAGAUUUGUGUAGGAUUUGAUUUAAGAUUUGUUUAGGAUUUGAUUUAGGGUUUAGUUUAGGAUCUAAGAUUUGAUCUAGGAUUUGAUUUACGAUUUAGGAUUUGUCUAAGAUUUGAUUUAGAAUUUAAUUUAGGAUUUAAAUAUUUUUUAGGAUUUGAUUUAGGAUUUGGUUUAGGGUUUAGGAUUUGUCUAGAGUUUGAUUUAGGAUUCGAUUUAGGAUUUAAGAUUUGAUCUAAAGUUUGAUUUAGGAUUUAGGAUUUUUUUAGGAUUUGUUUGAAGUCCAUUAGGAUUUCAACUAGGAUUAAAUUA